AAUCAGCUAUCUUAGAUCAGAAAAUAUAUUCAUCUCAAAAGUGUUCAUAAUGAUAGCAACAUGUAAUCCUCGAGAUGUUACUGGAAUUAGCUUUCAUUUUGAUUCUGCGUGGACUUUGUAAGAAUGUUUUAAAAAUCGGACCGUUAAUUAAACCGGUGAAGUGAAAGGGUCGAGAUUCAAUCGAUCGGACCGAUUUAACUCCGAUUCAAUGAAUUUUUUUAAAAAUAAUUUAUAUAAAUAUACAUGCAUAAAAUAAGACAUAUAAUGGAUAAUUUAAUACUUUAUAUGAUGAAAAGUUUAUUAUUUUUGAAUAACCUGGAUUUUUAAAAAUAAUUUUUUUAAAUUAUAAGUUAAAACAAAUAAAUUUAAUCUCAAUUUCAAUUAUAUCUACCCAAAAAAUCUUAAAUUCAAUCCAAAACUAUCACAAUAUUUUAAAAUUAUACAAAAUUCACGUCUAUGAGAAUUUAGACAUUUUGAACUUAAAUUUUAAUUUACGUUUUGGAAUAUAGAGAUUGCAAUAUAAAAAAGGAAGUUUGGAAUUCGAAAAAAAUCAAGAGAAUCAAAAAUAGAAAUACAAAUUGGAUUCGAAACAAGAAAUGAGAUAAAAGUGAGUGGUUGUGGAAUUAAAUAAUUUGGGUUAAAGAAAAAUAAUUCUUUUUUAACUUUUUUUUAAUUUAAUGAACAAAAACAAAAUUAAAAGAUGAAAUAAAACAUUAAUAAAUUUAAAAUAAAGAGAUUUGAUUAAAAAAGGAAUGACAAAAGAAAAGAUGAUACAAAGAGAGAGAGUUGAAGGUUAAAAAUAAAGAGCAAUGAGAGGAUGAGAUUUUGUAAAAAAAAAUGGAACAAAAAAAAUAAAAAAAAAGGAAAACUUGAAAAUCGAAAACCACCGGUUCAAAUCCGGUUCGACGGUUUCACGAUUCAACCGAUUUUUGACCGGUUCUCUGACAAAAUCAACCAUAGCAUUGAACCUGACCAGUAUCAUGGUCAGUUUGCGGUUCAAUCGGUCGAACCACCGGUCCGAUCCGAUUUUCAAAACACUGAUGUGGCGGCAUCGCUUCAUUACCAACUUACUACCCUCAUAGUCAAUUAGCAAAGACAAGUACAUCGCCUGCUGCUGCUGCUUCUAUUGAUAACUUGUUUCUUCCUCAUCAUCCUUGCUUGAAAGUGUUUUUUGAUCGAAUACAUCUGCACAGAACGGUUUGAUUGCACCACAUUGGGUCCAAAAAACAGAUGCCACCAGGGAUGGUCGCUGCACUAUGAAUAUAAAUACCCCCUUUGAUUCAUUUUGAUUGUAAGUUAACUUUUUGGAAGAGUAAUUCUAACUGCUAUUGUUUUAAAAUAUCUUUACAUCAAUAUUAGAGGUAUGACUAAAUAUUAUAUUUUACAUUAACUAUAACAAUAAUAUUAAUAAAAAUUACAUUAUUCAACGCAUUAAUCAAAGUAAUUAUUGAAUAAGGUAGGUUACGCUCACUGAUAACAAAGUAUAUUAAAUUAGAGUAGUUUAGAGAAAUUACAAAUUAACUAUUAUUUUCAAUUGGAAAGUGAAUCAUAAUUUGGAAUGGAUGAAAAGGAAAUACAAAACAAGACGAUCAAAGCGGAGCGAAGGCAGUGUGUAUACUUGCAACUACUAACUACAAUGAAGUUUCCGGACUGCUAAUUAUGACACAAAGGCCAUCUUCUUCCUUGGUUCUUAAGCUGAUGGUAGACAAAGCCGCACCUUAAAAUUUACUCAUUCUCGUCGAAUUUGAUGAAUCAAAACACGACCCCACGCUCUCGCAUCAACCAUAUUAAGCGCACAAAAACUAUUGCACCCGGUUAGUAUGGUUUUCCGUCUUGAAGGGUUGAAUGAGAGAGAGGCAACUACAAGCCAGUCUUGAGCGCAAUUGUUUGUUUGCUAAGUUGGAAGUGCGAUUUGCAUGGGACAAUGGGAAUAGGGGAACAAGAAUCGAUGAUCGACCAUCUAAUGUCCAGAACAACCAUGACAGGUAUCACUACUGUGUUCCCAGAGUUCAUAUUUGUAGUUCACAAAAAAGGUCUCUUAGCCAACCUGUUUCCAUAAACCGUCGGAAAAUUCAGAGAAUAACUUCAGCUCCUGAAAAUUCACAUGUGCUAUGCUGGUUGAAUGCAGCAAGAAUAAAGGGUAUUCCAAAAAUUCCUAUUCAGACUUCGUCUUGAGAUGGUACGCAUCACCAAAAAUGAUAAUAUGAGAGGCUAACGUUUUCAACUAAUGACUAGCACUGCAAUUUAGUUGUCGACGUGAUUGCAAGCAAGCUCGCGAGGACAUCUUGACCUUCUUACGAAGAUACCACAAAUGGAAUGGAUUUGGAAGAGAAAAAAUGCGCAGUUUCUCGUACUAAAGUUGCUGCUUCCUUGAUACGCGCCAUCAUAGUGGAUAGCUCCAUUCAUACUGCAGCAGGAUAACUCUUAGCUUGUGCACCUUGUAUCCCCGCUUCAACAAAAUGCCGGGCAUCAGUGCAUCCAAUGCUCCACCUUCUUAAUAUUGCUUUACAGACAAUCUCUCUGAUAACAAGCAAGGAUAAGCAAACAUAUCAAACGUCAGAGUAUGAAACCAUCUUAUGCAGUUUUUUGAAUCUAAAAUUACACUUCAGAGAGAAAUGUCAAUAAUGAGAAUUGAUAUGCAGAAAGUGAUGCCUUUACAGUCCUGUCAAAUUUAAGACGUUUAACAGUUGGUCCGUAUGAAAACAACCAAGGGUGAUGAAAUGUAUGAUUAUCAAAGUACAAUGGCACCUUAUGCGCUUCUGAAGUCUAAAUUAACAAUUAAGAACUGAAUCUCAAUAUUGGAGAACAGAGAAGCAGGGAGGAGGGACGAUUGCCAGUUCUGUUGGAAUACUGAGCUGUCCUCGACAGCCCAAGGCAUACAAAGCAGUCACUUCAUUUCUUGCUAACUUACAAGUAGGAAAGGACAAUCACUGCAGAAAGAUAUGGUGGUUAAGGCAUCAGAGCCAAAAAAUAACAGUCCAGUGAGAAUGGAAAGUAGCAUAUGGAUCAUCAGAUCAGUAUCCACCAAUUUGAUAUCUUAAAAUUUCAGUAACACUUUAUGUUCUUUCAAAACUAAAGAGUAGGGAGAGAGCAUACUUAUGAGUUCAUAUGUCACGAUCAUUGUUGUACCAUAGAAAGACAUAUUUAAGAACCUAGGUGCAAACCCUCUAUAAAAUCCUCUCCAGCCAUCUUCUUUAAGAAGUGCCCUAGUGGUCUUCAUUACUGAUGGUCUUCCGACACCAUAAUCAUCAAUUACCUUCAAAUAAAACCCACAAAAUUAAGUAUAGCAAUGACAAUAAACAUGCAUUCUGAUCCUGUAGUCAGAGAAUUUAACAAUGCACUGAGAUUUGGUACCUGAAGCCUUGUCUUUACAGUAUCUAAAGGGGUAGUAACAAUUGAAGAACAUGCACCGGCUACCAUUCCUGCUGUAGCCUGGACAGUAACCAUCUGUAAAUGAGAUGGUUUCUGUUGCAUAUCAUCCCUAUAACCCAGGCUCCUGAAGUCAUAAAGUAAACCCAAAGAAACGUUUCAGCAUGAACGACUUCUAGAUAUAAUAAGAGAGUGUAGCAAUUAUACCACCAAGACAUACGUCCAGAUCAUGUGCUGAGCUGCCCCAUAUGCUCCCCACCAAAGUGCUGAUGCAGGGGUUUGAGACAGAGCUGUUAAUCCAAAGCCUCUAUACAAACCACGAAUUCCUUCAACCUUAGUAACUUUACGAACAACAUCAUAUGGACCAUUGCAAGAAGUAGUCCCUGGAAGCCCUUGAACCAUUAGUCGCUGGCAGAUCUGAAAUGUAAACCCCAAAAUUGGGGAGGAACAACAUGCAGUAUUUAACAGAGUGAACAAGAAAAAUUCAGAGAAUCUUUUCUCGCACUCGGGUUCUACUGUUCACAAAGAACGUUCUAAUCAAUUAACUUUCUAGGUAAUAGUACAAAAACUUUCAGAACUCAAGCACCAAGACAUGUUUCACUGGGUUGGUGUAAAUCAAAAUUUCAAGUUCAAUACUUUCUUACUUGCUUUAGGUCCUCUUUCAGUCUUCCAGUAUUCUUCUCCCUCUUUUGUUUUAGGGGUGCGGGGUAGGGACGAUUAGCAUUAAUCAGAAACACAACAAAAUUCAGUUUCUGGCUGUAACUCUUCCACUCAACAAAGAUUCUUCAAUCUUUGAUGAUUUUAACAAUACUUAUUAUGGUCUUACAACAAUUGACACAAGCCAGAAGACAAUAAAAUCAGAAAUCAAAUUAAAAGAAAUCUUUGAAUGCAGUCUUAAGAGGUAGUGUACCUACCACCUCUAAAGGGACGAAGUAUACACAUGAAACUAUAUUUGAAAACAUUCCAGCAACCGCGUUUGCGAUGCCAACACGAGUAGCUUCUGGCACAUCUAGACCUUCAGUGCAUUUAAACAUCAUAUCUUUUGAUACUUCAAGUGAAGUGAGAGCCAGGACUCUGCCUGGCAACGAUCCAAUUGCAGAUGUACCAAAACCUCUAAAUAUGCCAGGUAGACCAUCACUCUUGAUUAUGUGUUUGAACACAGACAUUCCGUUCACACGGGAGAGACCAGAAGCAGCUACUUGCAUCCUUGUCUUGACAACUGCAGUUGGGUGUAUUAAUGCUGACUGAGCAGUAAAGAGGAUGGCCCCAAUAACGUGAAACCUUGUCUUAUCCAACCUAAACUCAAGGCACAGCAAGCAUCAGGGAUAGCUCAAGAUUUCUAGAAUGUAAUUUACGAGCGGAUAAACACAUUUUGUAAAGCACUAAACAGAUAAUCGGAAUAGGAGAAUGCAGGAGAUACUUAAUCCUGAAGAAUGAAGAAAAAUGAAAUGCACGUUGUGGUAAAUAGAGACUAAGAAGCAAGUCCUUGAUACACGUAGUUUGUCAGGAUCGCAUUUUGUAAAGGGCUAAAGUACAAUUCGAAAUGCAGUGAGACAAUUUGGAUAAGAGCAUAACUUUGGUUUUCGCUCAUAAAAUAAACUUUCAUUCGAACCAUCAUCUGCAAUCCAGGAAUGAAUGAUACAGACAAAAGCGUACAAAAAAGGUGAUGAUCAACAGUCUAGGGAAGCAAGGAGUACAAAUAACGGGAUCGGUGUCGUAUCAUAAAAAGCAAGACUGUUUACGAGUUGAAUGAUAUGGCAAUCUCGAAACUUGUAUGGAAAAGAAUUUUUUUUUUUUUCAAUUGCACCACAUUGUACGUAUGUGAUGACCCUAAACUCUAAGAAGGCAGCCAGGCUUGGCCCUGGAACAUUUUUUUUUUCUUUUUGGUUGGGGGGCAUGAAAUCAGCAUCAGAAUAGUAAGUAGUAAUUAACAAGCAGCGUCAUUCGUGAUGAUCACCAUUACUUGCAAUUCAUCAUCAUCAUCUUCUUCUUCUUCAAAAGUGGCAAAAGAGUUGAUGUUUGCAAAACUCAUGCCAUCUCAUUUAUUUGACAUUGCAAGAUCCAAAAUUUUCAAACAUAAUUAUACCCCACUAGUGAAAAAAAAUGGAAAAGGAAGUUUUUCUUUUCCCUUCUUAAACAAAACAUAGUGAAUCGAAUAAUUGAACAGCAAAAAUAUCAAGUGGCUUUUUUUUUUUUUUUGUGCAUUAAUAAGUAAAUAGAGCGAGUUAAAGCCUGAGGAGGGAAAAAAUAAAAAGACAGAGUUGAGAGAGAAGAAGGAAUAAGCGAGUACCUGUCCCAGUGAAUGUUAGUGUCGGCCAGAGCCAGCUCUGAGGGGCGACUCCCUACUGCUUCUGUUUCUACCGCCAUUUGUUUCUCCCCCGUAUUUGUAUUGUAUACUAAUAGCAAAAUAAUACUUAUUAGUAAGAGGUUUGGCCAAAACAAAUCAUACGACUAUAGGAAGGAUUACUACUGCUCCUUUCUACUCCCACCGGUGCCUCCAGCCAAUUGGAGUUGAUUAUCAGAAGAAGAAGAAGAGAGGCAGAAAAGACGGCAACACUUUAAGAAAAUUAUUGUUGCAAUACGCUGCUGGUGCAAAGCUUGGGACCGAAGGAGGGAAAUUUUACAACAAUAUAAUAAUAAUAAGAAAGCUUCGGAAGGUUCCGGGGGUCCCGGAAUUCCGGAAACUGGGCUACGCUUAUGUUGUUUUUAAUUUUUUUUUAGGGAUAAUUGCAGAAAACUCCCUUGACAUUUCUGACACCGGCACUCACCUCCCCUAUCUAUGGUUUUAAGACAGCAAUGACCUCUCCUGGGAGGAAAUUGUGGCCCAUUGCAGACAAAAGAUUGUGAAAAUAAACCUUUAUACCUUGAUGAACGAGUUGUGCAAAAGAAGCCGCCUAUUUAUCGCUAACAAAUUAACUAAUUAAAUUACCUGUGAGUUCUAACAUGUUUAGACUUCUAACAGGUUUAGGCAGCAUAAGCAUGGCUAACCAACCAAUGGCUCCAAUUGAAGAGGAAGAUGGCGCCAUGAAUUGGUGCACCAAUCUGUGAAUGACAACUUGAGAGUUGUACAUAAGGGAAAAAGUAUGUUGGUUCUACUUAGUUCACGAGAGCCAAAAUAACAGUGAGAGAAUAAACAAAAUAGGCAGCUGUAAGCAAGCAGAAUCUAAGCAUUUUGUUCAGAAACUUUGCAAGAAUCACAAUCAUACAGGUAAAUGUUCCUUGCUGUAGCCACUUUAAGACAUAAAUUUUGCAUGUUAGUUGUUGUAUGAUAAAAUGCCAUCCCUUUAACCUUCAGUACAUUCACAAGUUAUCAACGAUGAAAAAUGAAUGGAUGAUGUAUCAUCACUUUAACGCUUAUUGAUGAUUGAUGGAGUAUGUUACUGAUGAUUAAUGGCAUAUGAACGGAUGAUGUAUCAUCACUUUAACAUUUGCUGCUCUGUUUGUAGAUGCGCCUUUUCUUGAUCUUCACUUUGCUUGUAUUAGCACAUUGUAUCGGUCAUUGUGUGAGUUCAUGGCUAGUUUGUGAUACAAAUUUACAAGAUUGCAGUAUUCAAAAAUGCAGUCAAUAAUAAUCGUCACUCUUAAAACUAUAAGAUGGCUCUCCUUCCUACUCAUGACAUAACUGUCCAUUAUGAGGGGGAAAAAAAAAAAAAGAAGAGAGAAUCUCAAAUGUUGAUCAAAUUGGUAACUUGUUAUGUGAUGCUGUCGUUAAAGUAUUUAGUCAAGUCUCUAGGCACGUGAAUAUGUUAUUGCACGUGAGGUGUGAAAUUCCUGAAACAGGUGGCAUGUUUGAUAUAAUUGAUGGUGGAUUUUGUUAGUGAAAUGUUCGAUAACUUGCAAAUCUAGCCAUUUGUAACCCAAGCCCAAUUUCAGACACCACCGGUCCAAUGAUUGAGUUGACGUCGGUGGCUUGGUGGUGCUGUUGCUCUUGCUCUUGCAUUUGCGCGUACACUACUAUCUCCGGUGGUAUAUUUAUUAUACAGUAAGCAUUAUUGUACCAUUCCAGAUAUGCGGUAGACGACGGACCUCAUGAUAACGACGUCGUCUUUUUCAGUUUUCAUUCCCUCCCAUGGCUUCUAAUAAAGAUAAAGAAGAAGAGACUAGACUAGAGAAGAGAAGAAUUUUAUUCUCUCCCUAAAUUUUCGUUUUCCUAUUUUUUUUUUUUUUCUCACCCAACAAAGCGCAAUGGAUGUCUCUUUUUCAUAAAUAUCAUAUUUAAGUAUUUUUAUUUUUUUAAAAUUCAAUAACUAUUAAUUUAAUAAUAUAUAAAAUUUAAUAAAUUCCAAAAAUUAAAAUACAUAAAAAUGAUUUUUAUUGUAUUUUAAAUUUUUUAUUAUAUAUAUAUAUAUAUAUUUUUUUUUUGAAGCUAUUGUACUUAUUUGACCCACCCUCCUCCACCCAGGGACGCUUGCUAGGGUUUCCUUAACCGCGUCCACUUCCAAUUAUUAUUAUUUAUUUACAGCCAUAAAUCCACGAAUGAAUAUACAUAUGUAUAGACGGAUAGUUAUAGGCAUAGCAGAAAAUUAUGCGUGCCAAAAUCAAUUGUAAUAAAUUGGAUACAAAAUCAUCUAAAUUUGAGUCUGGAACCACAACGACAACAGCAACAGCUCUGGUUCAGCAGGAGGUGAAGGCAGUCAACCAUGGCUUGAAUCUUCUCUCCUCUCUAUCUCUCUCUCGCCCGCGCGCGCUCGUUCGCUCGGUAAAUUCACUUCUCUACUCUCUCUCUCUCAGCAUCCUGUACUAUUUGUUUCCAUGGUUGAAUAUAGACUACGUAUUUGAUUGGUGAUGUCAUUUUUAUUCUCCUCUUCUUUCUUCCUUUUUUUUUCUUUGAUUCCAGAAAAGAAAAGCUGUGAUGGUGCUUAACUUUUGAGUAUCAAUUGAUUUGUUAGAGACUGAUUGAUAUGAGAAACCAUGUAGUAGUAUUAAUUUUUGUGUUUUUUUUUGGGUGGGCGCGCCGGAAUUUUUUUUUUGGGGGGGGGGGGGGGUUGGUUGAGGGGAAGAUAGCUGGGUGUUUCCAAAGCGAUACUUCUCUCAAAAGUAGGAUUUCUCUCUUGGUCUGUUUGUUUAUGUUUUCCUCCUUAGAUAUGCUUAAUUGGUUCAUAUAUAUAUAUUUUUUUUGGGCAGAAAUAGGAUUUAUGCGAUCAUUUCAAGGCUCUGAUUCUUCCAACCAGCUUCCUUUUGUUAUUUUGUUAACUCUGCAGAACAGUGUUUAGUCGUCAAGUUUUACUGUUGCCCACUCUUGCGCGCGAUACACUGUUAGAUUCUUCCGGACGUGGUGUGGAAGUAGCAUUACGCCUGCUAAUAACCCCCUGUUCUUUGCUUUCUUUAGAGGUGGCAGUCUUCGGAUGGAAUUCUAUAGCUUUCCGGAACAAGAAUAUGCAGAUACUUAUUUGGUAAUCUUUCUGGCCGUCUAAUGGUCAAGUUUUUCAACGUCUGUUUCUCACCUUGUCAUUCUGGUCUGCAGUUUGGUGUGUUUUUUACCAAUUGAUAGUAGUGAUUGUAUUUUGGUGUCUUAGAUUCAAGGUACUGAGUUAAACUCACAGUUCAGUAGCCCAAGUCUUGAAGCCAUGUAUAGCGAAGGAGCUCCGGAAUUCAUCGUUGAUCAGGGCUUGUAUUAUCCUACUGCCACCAAUUAUGGAUAUAUCUGUACAGGUUAGGAUACCACCUAUGUUGUAUUCGAGCCAGUGAUUACUUUUUUGUUGUGUUCUCUCUUCUUGUUUUAUCUUCUUGCAUUUAUACAUGUAGUCCGGUAUGUAUAUGUAUCCAUAUUUGUUGAUGCAGCUCCUUUUUGUCCAGGAUUUGAAUCACCUGGUGAAUGGGAUGACCACCGCAGGGUUUUUGGUCUGGAUGGUCAAGAUAUCCAAUACGCCGUGAGUUCAUUCGCACAUACAAUGUCUUCCUUUACCACUUUGUGGCUAUGUGGUAGUUUCUAACCUCAGAAUGUUGUUUGUCCAGGGUUCCCAAACUGAAACUUUUCCCUUUCUAUAUUACACACCUACCUAUGGAUAUGGACAGUACACCUACAACCCUUACAUUCCUGGGGCUAUGGUGGGAGUUGAUGGGCAAUUUCUAGGGGCACAACAGUACUACACCAUCCCAUCUUAUGAAAAUCCUUCAUCUGCACCAGCAUAUUUCCCCAUGGUUGUUCAGUCUAGGUCAGAUCUCAUUGCAAAUAAUACAACAGACCCCUUCCUUCAUACUACCACAUCUACUGCUAAUAGAGCUGAUCGCUCAGGUCUGAAGCAAAAUAUUUCUUCAGCUUCUUCUGCCCUUUCCUCAAAUCUUUUGGGGCCUGCUUCUAGUCAAGCUAGUUCCAUGAUGAUGGUAUCUGAUGGAACUAAAACGAAUGCUACAGCUAGCGUACGACCUAUCACACAUGCAAAUGUUACAUCCAACAGAUUGUCCCGCCCACCUUCUAACCAAAUUCUUCAGGUUGGACUUACUUUGCUGAGAAAACAGCUUGUACAAAAUGUUUUUGAUAAGUUUUGUCAUUAUCUGAGGUGCCUGAAUGUGUACUCAUAAUUGUUUUAGCUAAGUUUAAUGCAGAUGUAACUACCUGCUGUUGCACUCUCUGCUUUCUUCCUCUGGCUAUUUGUCUAGCCGUUCUCCUUUUGCUUUACUUGAGGUUGUGAGAGGUCGUAAUUCACAAGUAAAAAUUUGGUUUACCUGCCCAUUUUAACAUAAGUUUUCUUCUUUGCAGGGUGGAGUUAGUCAAGCCCUGGAGCAUAUGCCACCUGGGAAGGCUUUUCCGAGCAGUAGUCAAUUUAAAGUUGCUCAACCACGUGCUAAUGGGAUGUCUAGCUUUGGAUCUACAUUGCAUGUGGAGCCCACUACAGACAAAGUUCAACCCACGUUUCCUCACGGGAGAGGUCCAAAUGUUACAAAAGUAAGGCCUGAUGCACUUGGUGAGCAGAAUCGAGGCCCUAGAGUUGACAAACCAGAAAAUCAAUUAUCAGUUAAAGCUUACACAACCAGGGCAGGAGAUGCUGAUACGGAGGGAAAUAUUAUUAUUAAUACCGAUGGAUAUAAUAAGGAUGACUUUCCACUUGACUACACCAGUGCCAAAUUUUUUGUUAUUAAAUCGUACAGUGAAGAUGAUGUGCACAAGAGUAUUAAGUACAAUAUUUGGUCCUCCACACCCAAUGGGAACAAGAAGCUAAACAGUGCUUAUGAAGACGCUCAAAGAUUUGCAAAUGGAGAUUCAGGACGCUGCCCAAUUUUUCUCUUCUUUUCUGUAAGUGACACUCAGUUCUAUUAUUUUACGGGUGAAAUCAUGUUCUUUUGUCUUUUUUGAUGCACUGUCACUCGAUUCUUGAGGUAUGGACCUUCUUGAAAUGAAGCUUUGUGGCAAUGGUAGCUUCCAUUUUUUGUGAAGCUAACUGCUUGUCCUCUUGAAAUGAAGGUAAAUGCAAGUGGUCAGUUCUGUGGUGUUGCUGAGAUGACUGGCCCCGUAGAUUUUUACAAAGAUAUGGAUUUUUGGCAGCAAGACAAGUGGACUGGGAGCUUCCCUGUCAAGUGGCACAUAAUAAAGGAUGUGCCAAACCCCAACUUCAGGCACAUAAUAUUAGAGAACAAUGAUUAUAAACCAGUAACUAACAGUAGAGACACACAAGAGGUUGGUUAACCUUUACUUUCAGUGCAAAUAUCAACAAAUUUCCUAAUUUGCUCAUUAUGUGACUAUGGAUUGGUAAAUUCUUUUGGAAUUUAGUUUAUCUUUCUUAUUCUUGUCUGUUUGGCUUUGAAUGUUGCUGGUGGGCUUUGAACAUUGUUGGUGGGCUUUGAACAUUGUUGGCAUGCUUUGCUGUGUGUUUUUGAACAACUUGGUGGUUUCUGUCAUCAUGGCAAUCUUUGCCUUUCUUUGCUCCUGCAUCCUUUUUUUUUUGGGUUCAUGCUUCAUGCUACACUUGGUGGAUAUAACAUCAAUUUAUUGCAUGAAAUAUUGCUUCUGAAUUCUAUAAAUUAUGCGACUAUCAUUGUGCAUCACCUCCCGAAGAGAAUGUGCUGGGAAACUUUGUUUGUUUUCAGGUGGGGAGGGUUUGCAUGUGAAAUUAGAGGAAAACGUAUUGCCUUAUUAGGACUUGGGAGAUACAAUGUUCCAUGUAGCUUUCUCAUGAUAAAAGAUAACUAUGAAUAUGUUUAGCUUCUGAACCCUCCACCUCCUUUGCACCCACCCUUUCUUUUUUACUCCCUUUCACAUUCUCUUUCUUGUAAUCUCAAAUUUUUCUCCUUUUAAAUGAACUCUUGGUUUUUAUCUGAUGGUGUGCCAUGACAUGAAUCUUAGUUUUGUACUUUUUUCUGCUAUUAUUUAUGCUCAGGUACGCUUCAGGAAAGGAAUUGAGAUGCUGAAAGUAUUUAAGACCCAUGUAUCCAAGACUUCUUUACUUGAUGACUUCAUGUACUAUGAAAAUAGACAGAAACUUUUACAGGAAGAGAAAGCUAGGCUGCUUAUGAAAAAAUACGAACAUCCAGUUCUUGUUCCUGUUUUGGAUCCUCCAGACAAGCUUACUUCUAGGAUUAACUUUUCUUCUAAAGAAGAUGAUAUGAGUUACAAAUGUAAUGAUUCAAACCACUCUGAUCAUGAUACAGCUGCGUCUGUUAAGACUGCUGGCUUAGAUGGUGAUACUGUAAAUGAUGAUGUUGUGGAUGUAGCAGAUGGGGAAGCAAGCAUACAUGAUUUUCUAAAGAUUGGCACACUCACUAUUACUCCAAAGCAGUCUGGCUCCGAGCUCUUGGGGGUUGUUACUGCUACUGUGGCAAACUCUUCUCUGUCUGAUGUUGUUACAGUAGGAUCUGUGCCUGUCAGGAUAAAGGAAACAGCAGAAUCUCCUGGUUUUCUGACAUUUGGGACUAUUCAAGUUGAUCCUACUGUUCUCAACCACGACAUGGCUUGCUAUCGCGGCAAAGGUGGACAAAAAUAGGUCGGUGUGUGGUCAAAUUUCGAUGACGGGAGUCCAUCAACUAUGACAAAGCAUUUGCUCUAUAUGGUGGGUCAUAUUGGCCCCCUCCCCACCCUCUCUCUCUCUCUCUCUCUCUCCCCCCAAAACACAACUAGAUGCCUUUCCAUUGUAAAACUGAGUGUAUUAUGCUGGGGCAGCGUAGUUGUAGGUCAUUCUCAUUUUCCUUUAAAGCUCAGUCUGGGAAGGGAUAUUGAUUUGAUCCCGAUGUUAUACUAACCUUCUUUUGGGUAUUGGAGAUUAUGGGUCUAUGGUGCAAAUUGGCAAAAUUUUUUGGUAUAUACCUUGUAAUUUACCUUUUUGGCUGUACUUUAAAGCAUUUUUAAUUACCUAGUCAGGGAGUCGUGACUUCGCAGGAGUUAAUAUAUAGACUUUGAGAAUGCAUUGGGUGAAAUACAAUGCGACCAAGUAAUAUUUUAUUGUGAACGUAUCUUUCUUUGCAACAGUGACAAAGAAGGAUUGAUAAUUUGUCUACGGGUAAAGUAGUAAGCUUCCUCUGUUGAUGAUAAUAUAUGUUUUUCAAAGGCAAGAAGAAAAUUGUAAAAAGUUUCAUUCAUGAAAACUGCACGAAGUACGAGCCCAUCUCCCUGUAGUUUUAAGACAGUAUUGUGAACGCAGAGUUCUAUUUAGCCCUGCUACACUCGAGACUAUAAUAAAAUAGACAUCCUAGUAGAGUCGCAGCAGCAACAUCUGACUAUAAAAAUUAAAAUAGAGGCAUUCUUCCAGCAACACCCGCUGAAGCAGUAGCAGUAGUGUUUCACCUGAGCCGGAGGUAAAAAGAUGAUCUGAUUUGUGAGGAGGAGCUGGGAUGGGAGAUGAUCCCAUUUAUGGCCUUCCUAGUUGCUCGGGGAACUCAAAUCCUCGAGGCGUCUGGUGAAACUGAACAGUGCUUGCAAUGUCAAUCCAAAUAAGUACUACUACUAACUAGUAAUUUUCAGCAUAGGCUGGUGGACACCAGCAAGCCUUUAAGGCUUUGGUGGGGUGGGAGGCAUGGGCUUGCCACAAUUGUGGUUCUUCAAAAAAAUCCAGAUGGGUGCGUGGUGCACCCGUCUGAUCCGGUGGUGAUUCUGUCCCCAUUGGUCCUCCGUAGGUCCAGUUGGGUCUUCCUGUAAUUAGAUUAGGAUAGAGUAGGAAUAGAUGUAGGAGUAGAGAUGACGAUUGACCAAAAAAAAAAAAAAAACUUGUAAUUUUCAACAUAGGCAUUAGGCAAUAUCAGGGAAAUACUAACUGUUGUUCUAUUUUUGGCUUAUUAUAGCUAAAUAAAAUAGUUGUAUUGUUAUGUCCUAAUGCUUGCCCCCUUUUAGGAAUUAACAAGAAUUUGGACUGGCUAAAUUUAAAUACGAAAAAUUUUAUGGUUCCUUUUGGAUGCAAUAAUGUCUUCUUCAACUUUUUUCUCUCACUAGAGCUAAUAAGUAAUUUAAAUUUUAAAAACUAUAUUCAACGGUGAAUUUUAUUUAUGAUCAUGAUAUUUAAAACAGUUAUAUUAAUAUUACGGUAAUAAGGGUAGGUUACAAUCUUUUUGUUGUAAAAUUGCAAUAUCAAUUAGCAAUUGUCAAUUAGCAAACCUCACUGAAUUAGCACCACUGCUGCUGGUAUCUUUUUUUUUUUUCUUUCGAGAUACUGUAGUUAUUCGGACUACCCGACUAAUCUCACAGCGCCCAGACAUAGCGAACCCGACCGAUGCUAAGACGCAAACAAUUGGGUUGCGGACCGAAUCAACCAGGUGGACUUAGAGUAAAGACCCGCCUCCACCGUCCAAACAACCCAGUGCGGGCAGGACUCGGGGCAGGGACGGUUGUAGGUGCAACCGUCCCUGACAAAUUUCCUCUUCAUCAACAGCGCGUAACUUCUUUUGUUCACCGUGUAAUUUUUUUUUCACAGGUUGUAUUUUCAUAACAGAUAGUGGUGGACCCCACACUUGGCGCGAAAAUCGAGUUACCACUUGUUAUCUGAGCCGCACAUUUUUUUGAGAUCCAAUCUGGACCAUGAACAGUGCAGGGACGGUCAUACCCUGCCCCAAAUCCGUGCGGGCACUGCUGCUGGUAUCUGGUCAUGAUUUUUGUUGCUUGGAGCUUUAAAUUAAAUAAAUAAAUUGGAGAUAGAUUCUUUGUGCUGACUUUUUGUACUGGCAGUCUAGUACUAGUACUGCUGCUGCUACUAAAUUUGUAUGCCCGGCUGGGGCUUUCAGUCGGGGCUGCCGUCUGUCUUCUUCAACCGCCAACUGUAUCUUCCCAUCUCACACCCACUCACCCAGCCACCGCACCACUGUAAGCUGCUGCUCCUCCUCCUUCCCCUUCCUUCCUGAUCAUCAUUUCUACAGCUCUGCCCAAUUUGGUCAAAUGCAACUGUUUUUUUUUCCCUUCCUUACUUUUUGACUUCACGAAUUUUCGCUUCUUCAAUUCAAUGCAUGCAUGAGUUCCUACGAUCAAUGCCCCGAUUUUCAGGAUUUUUGCCCCUUCAAAUGCACCCAUAGUUUUCUAUUUUCUUCUUGACAAAAAAAAAAAAAGAAAAAAGAAAAAUCUUCGUCUGAGAUAACUGUAGCUAGCAAGCAUUUGCAUUGCCCAAAAAAAAAAGGGAAAAAAGUGGUGAGUAACACAUUUUCUAUAAGAUGAUGGAGAAUUGCAAUGUUUUUUUUUUUUUUUUAAAACUUCAAUAGAAGAAGUUAUAUGUUGACGUGCAUGUGUAUGUACACUGAUCUGAGAUGCCUAUGAUCAUGUACGUGGAGAGAUCCUUACCCGUCAUACAUGUUUGUGUGUCUAUGUGUGACUGUCAUAUAAGAGAGAGAAAUUGCGUGAAUCUCUAUUCAUGCCUGCUUCAAUUCUUGUAUAAUUUUUUUUUACCAAAGAAUAAAAAAGAGGGAGAAAAAAACUGAGUAUAAUUUUCGUUUUACCAUGAUUAUAUACUAGUAGUUUUCAAGGGUAGGUUUUUGUUGCUUCUUUAAAUUACUUUUUAUCUUCAUUCAAUGAUUCACGGGUUCAUACUUUUUCAGUUUUCUAAUCCUUUUGGGCUUUUUGCUGGAUUAGAUUCCUUUUGGGUAUAUAGUAGUUGUCAAGAGUUUGGUUGGCAUCCCUUGCAAUUCAACAAUUUGUCAUAUUGCUCCCCUAUCAUAUCUUCCUUGUAGCAUCAGAUGACAGACUUAACAGAUGGCGAAAAUUCGUCAAAGCAACAGACUGAUGUUCAAACUAUGCCAAAAGUUGAGCCUUUGAGUUAUGACUUGCCAUUGCCAUCUGAGAAUGUGCACUCAAGGGUUAUGGUGGUAUGUGAUCUGUGUCUAUAAGAGCUCAACGCUAAAUCAAUUGGUUUUCAAUUUGCGGAAGUUUUUUAAGUCUUCUUUUAUGGACAAACAGAAGGGAGAAAAAUAGGACAUACUAAAUAAUUUUCCUUGCAAGUAGGAUUUUCUGUUUUGAACAUGUUCUGGUUAAGCUCUAGUUUGCUGAUUUCUUUCAUUUAUGCAGCUUCGUGCUCAGUCAGUUUCCACUAAGUUCUUUUAUUCCGUUUGCUUCGUAGUCCGGCAAACCACCGUAGCAUAUAAUUCUGGAUUUAGGUAGUAAUUUUGGAUUUUAUCUUUAUGUAGAACAAUGUUGCAAGCUCAUCAUCCAGCAAUACAAGAUCUUUCAUCAUGGAGAUGGGAUUUGAACCAUAUCUUGUGGACAGGGCAAUUAGAGAACAUGGUAUGUCUACAUAAACUGACUUGCUCCUUCACAGUUUCGAGUAAUAAUACACUGAGUUGGCUAAAUAUGGCAAUCUCGUGUUUGAGAGAUAAUUCUCUAUUUAUCAUGAUCAUCAUUGUCAUCAUCUUCUGACAAAACAAUAAAUGAUAGGACAUUUUCUUCUCAUGUAGGUGAAGACAAUGUUGACUUGAUAUUGCAGACUCUCUUUGCAUAUUCUGUAAGUUAUUCUUCCUUCAUCUGAGCUCUGGUUGCUUGGAAUUCCCUUGCAGUGCCGUUAUGGAAGGUUUCCUUGUCUAAUUGUGGGAGUUACAAGACUAUAUAUGAUUGACAUUCUUUGAACAAGUUUUAUGGCAUCACAUUCUCCUUAUUUGUUUGUUCAAUUUGUUCUUCCCCUUUCCCCUCUUUCUAUGGUUAACAGAAAUAAUUUCUUUCUUUGGUCCAAAGUAACAACAAAUGACCAUAUUGAAUAUGACUUAAAGAGUUGAUUCAAUUGGUAACUUCAUGUGGGAAGCUUAGUUGUCAGUUGCUUUGCAUGAAAGUUUCAAAAUCUAGAUCAAAAUUUGAAACUGUGGUCUUUAAUGGUUGCUGAAAGGCAUUUGCACAUAUUACUGAGUUGAGUACAAUGAAUUUGCAGUUACAUGAGCCAAGUACCAGACCUAGGUUGGCUGAACUCUAGUUUUGCUUAAUUCCACCAUCAGUUUUUGGGCAACAUAGUGCUGCUAGACAGUUUAGUGUGUGUCUGCUUAUUUUUUGUCUUUUUAGUUGCUUCUUCUCUAGACUUCUUUUAUCUCCAUGUAAAUUUUAAGGAUAACAUCCUUAGCAAGUUGAACCAAGUCUUUAGGAAGGAAAAGGUUUGGUUGUGUGAAUUAUCAGUGAAAGAUGGAGGACUUACAUCCUAUCACAUUCGAAGUUGUACCUGUAAAAUUCUACCGCGAGAUUGAGAAGCAGCUUUUCCAAGUCUUAGGUAGUGAUUUAGUUGAAGUCUGGUGCUUCAGGAUUUCGUGCCUGCAUGAGGCUAUUAUUGUCCUUUGGGCAACAGUAAGGUAAAAUGAAUAGUUUUCGGCACGUUUGGCUGAGUAUGGUUAACCGGAUUGGGUAUUUAUGCUACAAUUGUGGUAGCUGUUGCAUUAGGAUACUAAAAUUGAGUGGAUUGCUUUAUCUUUUCAUCUGGACAUUGAGGUGUCGUUCUGAACCAUGAAGGGAAUAAGUGAAGCACAAGAAAAAGAUAUGUGCUUCAGGAUUAGUCAAGCAUUCGGACAAAUUUGACUAUAUUACCAUCUAAACUCUUCAUACCACAAAGUACGUUGCUUAGGUUACAACUGCUUGCUGGAUGUGCUUAUUAGAACUUAACUGAAAAUCAUAGCCUUCUGGAGCUGUAUUGGUAUAAAUUAACCUUCUCCUUAUAUCAACUUCAGUUAACAUGGGCGUCUGCCUAUUGAGCUGAAGUAGAACUCCAUCAAUGAAAAUCAUCUUACACAUAGCCAAAGAAGAAUUUUGUGAGGCAGUGGCCCCAGAAUUUUUUGGACGUAAAAUUAUCUUCACACAAAGACUUUUAUUUGUUCAUAGCCUUUGUUUUUGGUUUUUAGAGCUUGUGCUGGUUGAUCAGUUUGUUUAUAUUGUUGCCUGUUAUUGCCAAGAUCCAUGCUCACUAGCCAUCAUGUCUUUUGGAAUGAAAUAGGCUCCUCAAAAACCAAAAUCUGAGCAUUGUGACUCAGUUGAUGCCUUAUUUCACAACAAUAAUAAACUCCCUGCAGAUUGUGGUGCAAGCGAGGUAACCUGCUCUUUAUGCUGGUUUAUUUUCUUUUCUUUCUAUCCAAAUAAUGAAUUUACACAUUUUGGAUGACCAGCCGGAACUGGUCACUUUAUCAACUUCGAGUUGUGGAGAUGGGUUUUUUUUUUUGGUCUAGGUCUUAUUAUACUUUUUUAGUGUGUUAUUGACAUUGUAUCAUAUACAUCCAUUUUUCUACUUUCUUAUCUGCUUAUCUUUUUUUUCUUUUUUUGACCUUUGGUUCCAUUUUUGAAUUAUCUAGUCAUAAUUGCUUCUUCCAAAUUGCUUUUAUUGACCUUGUAAUUCUACUUUAUGCACUAAAAACAAGAUCCCAGUGAAUUGAUCUGCAUUUGCACUUCCAAGGCACCUGAUUAAUCCACUUGUUUGUUGACCACAUCAGUUAUUACACCAUAUUUUAAGCUCUCAAUGCACAAGUUUUCAAAAUUGCACGGCCAUUGUUUUCAUUAGAUGCUAAGAGAUGUAAAAGCCACUUCUCUUUUUGCCUUACCUAUAAAAAUUAGGAUAUCAACACAGACUUUGUCAACCUAGCUAUAGCUAGGUAUGUUUUAGCUCCAUUUCCCCAAGUAUAUGGCCUUUUUUCCUUUUAAUCUUUCAGAGGAAUUUUUUUUUCUGUAAAUUUACUUUAAUCAGUUGAUUUCGAUCCAUAUCUGUAGCUAGUUUACCUUUUUGAUAAAGGCCUUCAAGCAAACAUAGGAUAUUUCACCACACACAAGCAAUAUUUACUACUACAACAAAGCUAUGUUACUUUUCACUUAAAUAUGCAGUGUCUAAAAUUUCUAAUGAUAUCUGCUUUGUAACUCAAACAGACUGUUGAUAUAUCAGACUCAUCAGAUUCUCUGGAUAGUUUGUUUGGGGAUGAUCAGGAAACUUGCAGUCACUUCGAUCGCAAUAGAGAUGUAUUCUUGAAAGAGGUAGCUAUUGUCAUUUGUAUAUUUGCAGUUUUUUGCUUUUUCUUUCUUUCUUUUUUAUUUUUCCUUCCUUUGUGAAGUUACUUUCAGCAUCAUUGACCAGUACAUGUGGACUUCAUGCAAUAGGUUAAUGCUCUUACUUGUCCUUAUCAUUGUUGUUGACCUUUCUUGUAUGUGUUCAGCAGUGACAAGUAUUUUACUGAUUAAAACAUGCAUGUCCAGACCAAUCCAUUGGAUGCCAAUUUUUUGGCCAUUGCUUCUUCUAAUGCCUUCUCUGUAGCACUAAACUUUAUGUAGGUUGUUUGGUUGAUAUUGUAUUGAAGUUUAUUGAAGAUUUAUCAAUAAACUUAGCCACCAAUGUCAAUGGGAAGCCAUAGCCCAUUUGUCAAGAAUGAUUAAAUGGAAAAUAAAAGUUGGGGCAACUUAUAGAGAAAUAGGAAUUUUGUAAUUUUAUCGACAACUGCAAAUUUUCUGAAUAAUGUCUAGCCAACUUGUUUAUCACUCUUUGCAUUUAAGAACUAACUUGUUGGAAGCAGAAUCAAGUUGACUUGCAUUUCCCUUGCAUCAGUACUCUCAUGUGAUAUAAAUUCUGGAAUUGUAGUUGUGUGCUAUGCUGGUUGUUUUUUGAGGAAGUUGAUUGUUCACUCUUAAUUGAGGAUACUAUUCUGGUUAAGCUAAUAUCAAGCAAAACAGGAGAGUGUUUGCAUUGAUGAUGCGGACUCGUUUAGGAAAUCAUGAAGGUCAUUAUUUUUCCGUUGGGCUACUGUAUUUACCAAUUUUGCAUAUCAAAAUGAUUAUAAGAGCUCAUAAGGCAAAUGAUACUUUGCAUCUACCACUGAAUGUAUUUCUACUUGCAGGAGCCUGAUGUAGAUAGUGUCACGAGCGAGAAAAAGGCAUCCUUGGUCGCAAUGAGUUUCUCUAAAGAUGAAGUGGAGUUUGCAAUGAAUGAGCUUGGUAGGUGGAAGUUUCUUUCUAUUGAUGCCGAAGAGGAAGGUUCUAAAUUUCAUGCGUUUCUAUUUACCGUAAAGUCCAACAAUGUCUCAAAAUUUGACUUUAGUGACUUGCUUUUGGUUGCUUAUGCGUUCAUAUAACCACAAUUAGAGAUGACAAGUGAAAGGAGAUUGAUAUAGCAUUUGUACACAAGGGUCCUUUUGGCAUUUCUAGUUGGGAAAAUUGUUUUACCUCCAACUUUACUUGAGUCUGGUGCUGUCAUGUGUUUGCUUGAGUAGUAUCAAUAUAUCCCAAGCUGGAGAAGACAUUAUGGGGGGCUGGGAGGGGCAACCUGCGAGCAUUUCUCCACCUGUAGUGAAUAUAUGUAUUCUUUCUCUUUGCAAGACAGAUAUUCAGGUCCUUAAUAGCUCCUUUCAUUGUGAGUGAGCUCUUGACUUUCAUUUUUGAGGCAAUGCCCUACGAGUGCUUGCUUUAGCUCUGAACAUUCUGACGCCCAAUCUUUCAUCUAUUUCACUUGUGUGCACCUUUUGCUUUCGUAUGUCUUGCCAUGACAUCAGGAUGCACUAUAUGCUAUUCAAAUUUACUGCAGAUCUGAUUUGUGUUGACACUUGAAAUGUCAUAAGUUGUCUUUCUGUUGCACAACAGGUGUAGAUGCUCCUAUCAGUGAUUUAGUAGAUUUUAUCUUUGCUGCUCAGAUAGCUGACAACUAUGCAAAAGGUGUAAAUAAGCCUACUCCUAGUGAUGUAGGAAAGGACCAGGUUUUUUUUAACCAUUCCUUAAGUUUUCUUAUUCACUUUGGGGCUCCAAAGGAUUCUCUUAUUUAUUAUUUUUCAUGUAGCAUCUAGCUUGAUUAAGCAAUAAAUGUUGUAGCUUCAUUUGCAUUUGUAUAAGCUCACUUUGUUUUCAAAUUUGAAUACAUGAAUUCAAAAAAAUUUGAAUACAUGGAAUUCAACAAAGUCUUGAUCCCUUUAUGGUGAACUUUUGAAGUAUUGCAUCCUGUGGUAAUGAGCUGGGAGCGAUAUUACAAGUCUACUACUGUCUCCUUUUUGAUGUGUUCUUUAAAUUGAUGGGAUCUAGAGUGGAUGGAAUGGGUAUAUAAAGCUUCAUCAUGCUAUGUGUUCUUAAAUGCGCGCGUGUGCCUGAGGAGUGGAGGCAUAAAUUGUGAUACCGUUUGGAAAAUUAUAUAAAGGAUGAAUAGGAAAUGAUUGACUUUCUCAUAUGGUGGUUGGCUCUCACUUUUGAGUAUCGACUUUUACAUCUAUGCUGUGUGUCCAGAAUAAUAGCAUCUUGUUUUGGAUUUAUCCAAUCUGUUUGAAAGAGUAGGAUAUAGACAUGCAUGUAUAGAGAUGGGACAACUCUAGCCUGACUAGCCUUUGUGAAUUGUCAAGCUUUGAUUCUUUGUACCUGCCAUGUGAGACGGGUAGAUUUAGGGUGGUUUUUGUCAUGUUGGACUAUUUAGUCGGAGAUGAAUGUUCACGGAAUGAGAGGUAGCCUUUUCAUGUGAAAAUUCUCGUAUAUAUGUGGUUCUGUACGCUUUUGAUAUGUGCAAACCCAGAAUAUUGUAAACAUCCCAUUCUGGAGCCACACACUUGGUUAGUUGUGCUGAGUUGAGCUACAAAUUUUCAGCAAUUCAGCACUGAAGCAUUGUUUGGAACAAUGGAGAAGACACUUGUAUUAUUUGAAAUGGGUUUUUCAGAACAACAAAUUUCAACAGCUAUUGAGAAGCAUGGUAAGUGUAAUUUUGCCAUUUCCUUUCUUCCCUCUUUCCCUGGUAUUUCUUUUUCUUUGAAGAGUUGGAAGAUUCUCUAGUGUCUUCUAAUUAAGUGAAAUCUGAUUUCUGUAUUUCUGUUUGAUUUACUCUCUUGUUGCUUUCACAACCGACUUUUUCUUUUAUGGUAACUUGUGGACCAUGACACUCCGCAAUUUCUGCUUGCAAUAAUUCACACAACUGACAUAAUCUGCUGUGGUUUGAUCGAAGAACUUAAAAAGUCAUUUUCUGGUUUUUAAUGUCUGUUCUGAAAUUGCACCAUAGAUUUACCUUGUUCCUGAUAUUUUUGUGCUUUGACUUGAAUGAUCUGAGGGAGGACUGGGGAGGGGAAAGAGAGUAAACGGGGGCUUUCCUUGGGAAGGGAAAAGGAAGGGAGCAGAAAAUGGUAAAUAUCUUCCAGUGACUCAUCUCCAUGUGCGUUGCAUGCUUUCCACCUGUUAAUUACCCAAACAAUCAGAAUGGUUGAAAGCAUUCUCUCCCUAGGUGUAGGAUUUCAGAUCCUGUUCUCCUCUCCUUUUUUUUUUUUAAUUCUCGGCCUCACUUUAUUUUCUUCCUAUCCAGGUUCAGAAGUUCCCGUCUCGGAGCUUGCUGCUUCAAUUGUAGCAGAAGAAGACACUGGCACAAAGACAGACAAGGUAUUACCAUCAUUUUGGUGGACACCUAGAAAGUAGAAAUAAUAGCAAUAAGGAUUAUGAAUAAUGCUAGAAAUAUAUCUGUUGCAUUUGGCUAAUAUAAAUACUAUAAAGCAACUGAUGUGCACAUUUUAAAUUUCAGUAACAACUUUUUUUGCUGGGGCAGUUUGCUAAUAUGUAGCCCCUUCACUUUCUGACUACUACUUAUAUAGCCCCUUUGCCCUUUUUUGUUUUUUUAGCAUCUUCUAGCAGGCUCAAGUCUGAGUAAUUCUACUGCUGGAAAAUAUCAUUCCUUUCAUCCAUCUUUUGUAAAAGCCGAGGAGUAUGGUUUAGAUGAUGUUUCCUGCAGAAACUUUGAUGUCCUGGAAAAGUUGAAAGGCAAAAGGCCAAAAGAAAAAUGUGAUGAUGAGCUAUGUGGUUUGAAAAUCCCAAAGCAAGAAUACAAUGAAGACUUCAGCUAUUUUGUAGCCCCAGUGCGGUCAGAAGCAACACAAAGAGACUCUAUUUCAUAUGGUGGUUGUCAUAUGCAAAUUCGAAAGAAGAAGAUUCACCGUGGAGCAGAACAAAUGGGCAUUUAUGGACCAGAGAAAUUGCCAAUGCCCAAGUCGUGCAGAGCUUAUGAUGAUAUGUUGGCUAAACCUCCUUAUUUCUUUUUUGGGAACGUUAUAAGUUUAACCCACGAGUCAUGGGUCAAAAUCUCGCAGUUCCUGUACGCAGUUCGGCCAGAGUUUGUCAGCACUGAUACUUUUUCUGCUUUAAGUCGAGAGGAAGGCUAUGUUCAUAACCUCCCUACUCAAAAUAGGUUUCACAUUCUUCCAAAGCCGCCAAUGACUAUACAAGAAGCUAUACCACGCACGGCAAAAUGGUGGCCUUCAUGGGAUACAAGGAAACAGUUGAGCGUCUUAACUGCUGAAGCCACGGAGAUGUUUCAAGCGUGUGAGAGGCUUGGAAGAAUGGUAGGUAACUCCAGAGGACUUUUGUCUGUUGAACAACAGUCAAACCUUCUCCAUCAAUGUAAGAUGUUUAAUCUUCUUUGGGUUGGCCCUCACAAAUUGGCCCCUAUAGAGCCAGAGGAUGCAGAGCGCAUUUUCGGCUAUCCGGUGCAUCAUACUCGAUCUGCUGGCUUUAUCCUUGCGGACAGGCUUUCAUCACUCAAAAAUUGCUUUCAGAUUGACACAUUGGCAUAUCAUCUUUCAGUAUUGAAAUCUCUUUUUCCUGGAGGAUUAACUGUUCUGUCCAUCUAUAGUGGAAUUGGCGGGGCGGAACUUGCUCUUUACAAGCUCGGUAUCCAAUUGAAAGUAGUUGUUUCCAUAGAGCCUUGUGAAAUAAAACGAAGGAUUCUAAAGCAUUGGUGGGAGAAACGUGGAAUAACUGGGGAGUUGGUGCAGAUGGAAAGCCUUGGGAGUCGUCUAGCAUUUAACAAGCUUGACGGUCUGAUACACAAGUACGGCGGAUUUGAUAUUGUGAUUGGUCAAAACCCAUCCACUUCUUCGUCUAGAAGCUCAUGUUCUAAAAAAGACAAGAACUCGCCAGGUUUAGAUUUUCAGUUGUUUUAUGAAUUUGUUCGUGCUUUACAACUUGUGAGGAGUACAAUGGAGAAAAACAGAUAGGUUUUAUCCAUUUGUUAAGCUUCUCCAACUGUGCCGUGCUGCAAUGCUUCUUUCGUUCUUCGCUUAGUGUAGGAGACAAUUCAAGUUCGUGCUGCCAUUUUGUGAGUCUAUUCUAAGUUUUAUGUUAAUCGUGUCGCACCAAGCGUGGGAGUUAGUCGUCAGUCACUUAAAUUAAUCUCUUUUUUUGGAAUGACAAAGUCGAGGGUUAUGUGUAUUAUAAUCUUACAUGCAGAAGAAAAGUAACACCAGAGACUUGCAGCUACGUCGAACGAAAGAUUGCACCAUCAUAUUUGCUGUCUAGCGGUAAUUGAUGACUCGAAUAAAAUUGGACAAUUUUGCUUUUGAAGAGUUGGACGCGGGAUGCCAACUUUUAUCCAAAUAUGGACUAGCGUUCCCUGUCUUCCUCUCUUCGCCUUCGUAAACAUCAAACGCAAGUUGCCAUUGCAUCGGCAUUAAGUUGGGAAAAAUAUAGAAAAAUUGCCGUGUUUUUUUUUGGAAAUUGCCGUACAUUUCAAUAUCUAGUAACUUUAAAAGUAUAAUAGGGUACCGAAUUGUAUAAUUUGAAAUCAUAAGAGGGACAUUUUCUAUCAAUUUGCUUAACCAUAGGAAACUUUUUUACAUUAUUAUAACUUUAAAAGUAUAUCAAUUAGAAAUUUAUUUGUUUCCGGUACAAAUGCUCACCUCACCAAAAAGAUGAGCAUGUAUUUUAAAUCCGCGUUAAUUCAGACGAUUUCAGUUGCUUUUUAAAAUUAAUUCAAACCACGAAACAGCGGUGUCCGUUUAUUCACGGCAACAAGAAGAGCUCAAUAGCUUGCUUCAAGGAAGUCCAACAAGACUAGCUAUCAGAGCUAUGUUUCAAAAGCUCUUGCUGAAUUUCCUUCCAGUCAUCUGCUCCGAUUCGUAGAUUAUGUGAUUUAUCAGUCCCCUUGCAGCACUGCAAAGCCAAAAGCACAGUAGACGAGAAUGAAUUUUAGCAGACAGUUGCAGUCAUCUCCAGCGGGGUGAGAACAGAAUGCUUUGCGUGGUCAGCCACUGAUAUUCCAAACAUGAACAGAUAUUUAUUAGGUUUAAAAGUCUGAUUCUUCUACUUUUCCUUUAUCUAAUCUGGCGAUACUAGGGUCCGGCCCUAGAAUUCCAAGACAGAAAAGAAAAAGAAAAUCCACUGCCAACUGGAGUAUUAACUUCCCAUGGUGCAAAAUAAAACAGAAUUUCCUUACUUUUGAUCUUAAGCCAGCCAAAACACAAUUUCCUUACGGGAAUGUUUGAUUAUGAUGUGAAGAGCUGAACCAAACAUGACAUCCAGGCUCAAACAUGAAUAAUCAAAAGCAAACAAGUCAAUUUCCUGAUUUUGUUUUAAACUAUUUAAAUGGAGAUGCAAUCAAUAACCGGUAACUAUUAAGCAGCCUUGUCAAAGAACAAGAAUGCCCCCUGCCCCCUCCUCACCCCUCUUUCUGGCAUAUACUAAUAAUAAGCAUGACAUAGGGAUUAUUUUGGUGCAAAGACGCAGGGAAGGCUGUCUGUACCAGUAUGCAUUCUCAUGGACCCAGCUACCAAAUUUGGAGCAAGAGAGAAUUUAGAAACAAGUCGAAGAACAAGUGGAGAGAAAGGAUAAGCAUUCUACAAGCAGGACACAUUGCUGCGGAAUACAGACACAAAUGAAAUACAAGUUGCAACGGAACUCACUCAUCUUUCAACUUUUGAAUUUUAUCUGGAUCUGUCUCAUGCAUAUGCUUCUUGAAUUGCUGCCUCACCAUGCCAACUACAAGUUCGGUGUUGUGUUGCUGCAAAUUAGUAACAUAGAGAAGGUUAUCUCUCACAUUUUUACAAUACAAGAGGACUAUAUCUGUUUUCACUGGACAAAAAAAAAAAAAAAGAUACGCCAACAAGAAAAAUUGGUUUUGUGUGACAAAAGCAGUAGAUGAUGAUUUUAAUUAAAGCAGCAAAAAUUUUGGUCAUUAUGCAGCAGAAAGCAAAAGUAGAUUGAACCCCAUACCUUGUGCCCAAUAUAUUUAGCUCGCCGGAGGCAUUCGCGAUAAAGCUACAAGAAUUAUAAGCAAAACAAUAUAGCUGAACCCCAUUUCAACAAAAAGAAUAGAAAGUAUAGGACCAUAAAACAUACAAGCAUGUGAGCCAUGAUUGACACCAGAGAGAAAACAAAGGAGGGCACUAACACGGAUAACAUUAUUGGCCAGCUCAGGAGGCAAAGCUGUUUGAAGCGAGGGCAUCCUCUAUCUUACCUAUAGCUCCAAACCUGCGUUAUCUCCAAGCUGCUGCUCAAAAGGAAAAAAAAAAAAAAAAAACUUAUAAUUAUUUUUCAAGCCUUUAGCCAUUGCAAAGAUUCCAAAGGUAUCAGAGUUGACCGAGUCUGACUAAAGGCUGAAGGUGAAUGUGCACUUAGGCAAUUAAAGGAAUCAACGAACCAGCAACAAAUUUAACCAUAUGGAGUUUGGUAAGCAUAGCUGAAGCUUCUGGCGUUUGAAAAACCACGCCAAAAUGGGCAGUUUUUGGGGUAAAAGCUCCUGUAUGUAGCUAACGAAGAAUUUCAGAACUACUAAAAAUAUAUGCAACGCAAGGAUGUUGGCCUAUAACAGGAAAAAAAAAAACCAAUCUUGGAAUAGUCCUUAAUGAGUAGUAAUAACUACAACCUGAGCAAGCCCUCUGCAAUUACAACUCCACAAUCUUGAAUAAAGAUUUCGAUACUCAACCGAGAAAGUGAAAUGGUAUAAGAUGAAUUUCUCAAGCCAGGAGACCCCAGUAAUGCAGCUUUCACACACAUACACCAAAGACGGAGACACAAAUGACAGAACUCGGAUUCAAUCAGUUGCAAAAUCUCUUUUACCAAACAAACAAUUUCAAUCCAACAAAGAAACAAGUAAAACGACAAAUAGUAAUCUAAAAAAAAAUCUAAAUGCUAAAAAAAAUUGAUAUUAACAAAUGGAAGAAAGAAUAAAUAGAGAGAAAGAAAGAACACGCAUACCAGAAAGACCAGUACUUGGAACUGAGAAAAGGAAUGAUAAAUAUAUUAAUGUUCUUGCAAUUUCCCCGGCGGUCCAGAAGCAAGAGAUGGGAAAAGCGAGAGAGAGAGAGAGAGAGAGAGAGAGGCGCUGCCGUUCGGGUUCGGGUGACUCGUCUCCCUUUUUUAUUUUUCUACCUGGGCUGGGCUAGUAAGACCACAAUCCUGAUUUUCGUGGCUUAACUUAUUUGGGCAAGGCGAGAAAACGAUGCCCAAAAAGGAUUAGCCCAAUCCAAAUAUCCGACGGAGUGAGUCUAUUAAUAUAUCUCGAAGGACCCGACCCGGAGACCCCACAAGAUUAGCAGAAGUGUUUGGAAAUGACCGCUGCUUAUUCAAACGGAGCGACUGAUUCCCAUUUCCAAAUUCCCGUCCGUCACUGCAAUUUCUUUCUCUUCUUCUUCCGCAAUUUUUUUUUUUUAAAAAAAAAUUUUUUUGGUGAACCAACUAAUCAUCAACUCACAUUUACCCAAUUCUAUUAAUCUUUUUCUUGUUCUGGAAUCCCCGAGCCUAAAUGGCCGUUCCUGAACGGCGAUCAUUAACUUUCUCACUCACCCUUUUUCAAUUGUGAAAAUAGCUUAGAAGAAGACGCACUAGUAGAAGAAGAGGGGGCGGAUCAUUUCCUAGUUCGCCAUCAUGUUCGAGGCACAUGUAUGGCUAUCAUUUUUUUUUUUUUUUUUACUGAUUCCGUCCUUGUUUGUCCUUUCUUCCUUUUCUAUCAUUUUCUUAUGCUUGGAAAAGUCUCAGUCCUCCUAAUUUUUUUUUUUUUCUUUAUAAUUUUUUUAAAAAUUUUUGUUGGUUACGGAAAAAAAUUAUGUUUGGUACUAGUUCCUCGCUUGCCUGUUCAGUGCAUUGUUCGAUAGUUUUCUUGUUUUCUGUUUUAUUAGUGUUAAAUUCAGCAGCUGGGUGGGUAGGUCUUCCUUGUGGUACUAUUUUCUGAGGUGAUUUCCGGGCGAUGUGAGCACUUCUUUUCAUGGAUUAAGCACAUUUUUGAUCGCUGGGCAAUUGGUUGUAUUAUUCGCUGUGGUGCCCUCCUGUGAAACUGGAAUCGGAUGGUGUAGUACGGUGCCUAGAUGUAGUGCCUUAUAAUUUUUUGGUAGCCAACUGAAAUAGGAGGUUUAGUGGAUUAAGAUGAUCUGUGAACUAUAGAUGGAACUCUUUUUCUUAAAAAAAAGGAAGCAUUUAAAAGUCAAAUUGUGCAAUGUGAAUGGACGACUUGUGAUAUUCAAUUUGAUAACUAAGGGUGGAAUGCCUUAUGAAGUUGCAUUGUUAGUGUCAUAGCUAGCAGGUUUGUUGGGCUUAAGCAAUGACAGCACGGUACUCAUCAAAAGCAAUUCUACUUAGUCCUCGCAUGUUCCGAGAGUAAGGAAAGGAUGUGAUGUGCCUUGGUUACGUUUUGGUAAGUGAGGACGCAACCCAUGCAAGUAGUAAUUGUAGUGGCUAAGGUCUCUUGGGUUGCUCUAGUGGGUAGUUGGACUUUGGCAAAUAUAUUUUGUAAUUUGGGCUUGAUUUUUUUUUUUCGUCUUUUCUUAAUUGGUUUAAGUUCUUCUAAGUUAAAACAUGUUUCACAAGAUUGACCAUUUGAACUUUAUCGACGCCUCUAUCUUGGAGGUCAUCUAACUAGUUUUGCUUAGAUAUAUUGAGCUUUCUUGAUGUCAAAUGGUGCAGAGUGAGAUGAUCACAAGUUUCUGUUUCUUUUCCCCUUCUACGAGACUAUAAGAAAUGUUUCAGAGUUUAUUGUCCUUCGCUAGUGGUUAUGUUUGUCAUUUUCUUGGUUCUGAAAAGUAAUCAGGAGGUCAUCUUCAUGUGGUGGAUUCAGUACCUAGUGAACUCUAAAGCUUGUCAAAAGCAUUUUAGGUCCUUGAAGGGUAUCUUUAACUUUUAAAAUAUUGAAGCAGAAUGGUAUUCUGACCAAAAUUCUCUUCAAGUGAGUACGAAUUUUCUACCUAAUUCAACAAAAGAGGUGCUUUUACUGUCACGGAGAAAAAAAAUUGCAUCAUCUUUUUGUUUGUAUUGCUUUACAAAUGUCAACUUUCUGUAACCUUAAUUUGUUGCAAGUCUUCCAAAUGGACAGAUAACCUAAUCUUUUCCCUCUUCUGAUUCACUCUUCUCCUCCAACCCUAAUCCUGGUAGCUCCCUCUGUUUUUUUUUGGGGGGGGGGGGAGGGAAAGGAAGUACAAAAAAAAAAAAAAGCUUAUGAAAUCAAUCUAUGCUUAUCUCAGCGUCCAAGAGAAAAAAAAAAGGAUGUGUUCUACCUGCUUCUAUUGCCAGUAUUGUUAUCUUGCUUUUUAAGUAGCUCAGCCUUUCAAACCCUUGUAAUCUGUCUCCCAUUGUUUCUCCAUCUCCCAUAUCCCAGUGGCUGAUUUUUCUUUAGCCUUUAAAGUAUCUUUAUGAGAUUUUUCUAUUUCUUAACUUUUGUUGUUAGUAUGAAGCUCUUUUUUGACGUUUCUGUUAGAGCAUCAAGUGGACAUUGACUGGGAUUAUUUGCAGGUUUUGCAUUUGCUCCGACGAUAUUUGGGUGAAUAUGUUCAUGGUCUCUCUGCAGAGGCCUUAAGGAUUAGUGUUUGGCAAGGUUUUUCUAAUCCUCUGAUACUUUUUUUUUUUUCAAUGUGUUUCAUGCUGAAGUAGUAACCCUUCGCUCUUCUGGAUUAAUUUAAAUUGAACUGUACAUGUAGAUAUAAUGGUACCUAUUAUUUCUAGACAUUAUUUUUUAGAGUGUAAAAUGAAGUGCUGAAGAGAUUUUCAUGGCAUUUGUUGACUUGGAAAAAGCAUAUAACAGAGCUUAAGAAUUAUGUUAGGGUGAAAAUAGGAGCAAACUUUUGACGCCAUGACCACACUGAGAAAACUAUAGUCUAUCUAGUUAAUUUUUGAUUGUAUUGAUGAUUAAUUUUCCUUUUAUUUCAUGAUGAUACUGUGCAGCUCUUACAGUUAAAGCUGCUGAAUUUAGACAAGACUUUUGUAUUGAAGCUCUUGGCAUGAGAAUUGAGUAGAUGCAACAUUUUGAAUAUCUCAGUUGUAAUUUUUGAACGCAUACGAAAUUUUGGCUUGAUUUGAUACAUACAUACAUGCAUACAUAUGUAUGAAUGUAUGUGUGUCUAGUGAGAGAGAGAUUGAUUCUGGAAUGAAGUGACUCAUCGAAUUUAAGCUGGUUAGGUAAAUGAAGAGCUUAGAAGUGAGAGAAAUUCAAAGGCACUGGUUUUUAGUACACAAUAAGUAGCUAAAAUGCAUGAGAAUUGAGUAGAUGCAACAUUUUGAAUAUCUCAGUUGUAACUUUUGAAUGCAUAUGAAAUUUUGGCUUGAUUUGAUACAUACAUGCAUGCAUGCAUACAUAUGUAUGUGUGUAUGUGUGUAUAGAGAGAGAGAGAUUCUGGAAUGAAAUGACUCAUCGAAUUUAAGCUGGUUAGGGUAAAUAGAAGAGCUUAGAAGUGAGAGAAAUUCAAAGGCUGAAUGGUUAGUACACAAUAAGUAGCUAAAUUGCGUGUGAUCCUGUACUAGGUGACUAAGAGAUGCAAACCAGAAGACUUGUGUUUAUAAUACGAGAUUGCUAGCAUGUUAUGGGUGUGUAGCUGAAAGUCAAUAUUAGAAGAGAGUGAUUAUUUUCCUAUUAAGUUGACGAUUGGCACUUAUAGGAUUAAGUGAAAAUCUGUUGUAUUUGGGAGUUUUUAUGGUAAAAAAAUAGUGUGUAGGUUAAUGAUAAGAAAAGCUUGAAAAGUCUGACUUGAAAAGGAGGUGCAUCAAAAUGACCUGUAAUCAUGCAAUGGAAGGAAUAUAAACUUGGCUGGUAAAAUCUAUUACCCAGGGAGUACAAUAGAAGAUAGUAAAUCAUAGCUGGUGGCAUAUAGUUUAAGAUGAAAUUUUUGUUCAAGAUCUGAUCCAUGUCAGAAAGGAUGUGGCAAUUGUUGAAAGUAGCACGUUUCUUCUGUAAUCAUGGUGACUUUUUUGUUCAGUUCUUGUAAUUUUCAAGGGUGUCCAAGUGAACAAUAAAAGAGUCAUAUCUAUAGGUGUGUUUUCUUCGCAUAUUAUUUCUGUACAAUUAGAAAAGAAGAAAAAAGCCAUGUUGCAGGUUUUGUCAUCUCUUUCAACCAGAGGUCUUGGUACCUAUACUCUCUUUUUACUUAUUAACAGUUAUUCUGUUAGUCAAAGAAGAAUAUAAAGCUCACUGAUUUGCGUCUGGGCUUUUUACUUAUUAACAGUUAUUCUGUUAAUCAAAGAAGAAUAUGUAGUUCACUGAUUCGCUCACUAUACGCUGUGUGCUUUUGUUUCUCUCUCUCCAACUAUAUUGUUUAUACUCAAGAAUAACGUUGGUUAUGGUUAUCACUUGCCAUGGAUUUUACUUCUAUAGGUGAUGUGGUUCUGAAAGAUCUGAAAUUAAAGGCAGAGGCUCUAAACUCGCUCAAGCUUCCUGUCACGGUGAAGGCUGGUUUUGUUGGUACAAUAACUUUAAAGGUAUUCACUUGGUCUCUUUUUACUGUGUUGCUACUGCCAGAACCAUAUCCCCAUAUUCUCCAUCGCUAGAAAUAAGAAUUGUCUUGUUCAUGACUUUUUUCUUGCAUUAUUCUGUUUGAGAACUUACAGUUUUUAAUCUGUUUGAGAGCCUUCUAUUGUGUAUAUAUUUUAUAUCUGUUGCUUUAUAUGCAUUUCUAACAGCCAUUGCUUUAUUCGUGGAGAAUUACGAGUUGCCAUUAUUGAAUGAUGCCAUGUUUAUUACUAUAUGCUUAUUUAAGAAUUUUCUUAAUUUCUGUUCAUUUUGAGAGUAGCUUUGGGAGGUUUUUAAAAAAUCUACUUGAUCAUUUUAUCUAUGACUGUGAAUUCUUUUUUACUUAUUUUUAUUUGAACUGACUAUAUUCAAUAGGUUCCUUGGAAAAGUCUUGGAAAGGAGCCAGUAAUUGUGCUUAUUGAUAGAGUAUUUCUCCUAGCUCAUCCAGCGGCUGAUUCAAGGUCUCUUAAGGUAAUGAGGUAUAUUUUGUUCUGUAGAAAUGCUUACUCCCUGUUCAUCCUGUUAAUGGUAGUUGCUUUUGUUUCUUCUUCUCACCUUUGUCUUUAUAAGGAAGAGGAUCGUGAAAAGCUUUUCCAGGCCAAACUUCAACAAAUUGAGGUGAAGAUUUUUCAUGCUUAUGCAUCUUUAUGUUUUAUUUUUGCCUUCUUUCAUUUUGAUAUUGACAUAAUAGUAACUGUAAAGUUGGUUUGUACGCUUUAGAGUAGUUAGGUUGCAAUGCGACCCACAAUUUGGUGACAAGAGCCAUUGCCUGUGAAUUGUGCCUUUACUGUUACAUGAUCUUUAUGAUUCUUCGACAACAUGUGUUAGUAUCUUUUCUGCUAUUUAACUUGCAAAUGAUUUCUUUGUGUCCUUAUUUGGCAUUAAAUUAGAUGCAUACCAGGCUCUUCAUGAUGGAAUUAUGUAUUCGAUAUAUAAUAAAGCAAAUAAUGGCCUUCUACUACUUUUAAGGUGCUGUUUUUAACCUUGUUUCUUUCGUCUUUUGUUUUAAUAUAACCAUCCCUAUGAAUGGAAUUUUUUUUUACAACAGUUUCUCUAUUGUGUAUAUAAUGAUGUAAUGGAAAAUUGUUCAUUUGUAGUUAUUGCAUGUUUUAUAUUGUAAUUGAGGAUUGUUCAUUUAUUCUUUGGCUACACUGGUGCAGUAUGCCCCGACCUAUGAAAUGUACAAAAGCCUUUGCCCAUACUUUUGCCUUCUGGGAUAAUUAUAUGGAAAAAGCUUGUCUGGCAUAUAGGUGCAUAGAUAGACACUGAUGUUGAUGUUCCUGUAAGUGAAAAAAGUUAGAUUAAAAUGGAAGGGGCAAUGAUAAAAGAAAAAAUCUAUGAUAUAUUUUUGGAGAAUAUGGUAAUUGUUGCUAAUAUUUAACCGUAUGAAGUGGGUUUUUGCAAUACCACUCAAGAAUGCUUCUGCCAUUUUAUUAACAAAACUACGUGUUUAUUUAUGUAGGAAGCAGAAUCGGCCACCCUUGAAGCAUUAUCAAGAUCAAAGCCUGGAAGCGUAUGACCCUGGAUACUAGAUUUUGCACUAACAGUAGCUAUAUGAUCUCUGUAUUAUCUGCUACAAAUGUAUAUCAGCUUUUGAUGCAUUACAUCUCACGUGGAUGGUGUUAUCAUGAUAUUUUUGUUUGGUUUAAAAUCUUGAGUAAGUUGCUAUGUUAUUUUGUGCUAAGAAUUUGACCAUCCCUUUUGUUACUGAUGUAUUGAGAGGAUAGAAUUAUAUCCUAUAUUAAUAAUCCUCCUCCUUCUCGGGUCAAAUGCAAUUAUAUCCCACUAAGGUUGAUAUAUUUUUUUUCUCCAACUAAGGUUGAUAUGUAAGCACAGUUUCUUUUCAUCAGAUUUCUUGAUGUUACAGGCUAAUGAAAACCUUUUUGGUUAUUGUACUACAAAGUAUUGCGUUUUUCGGUCUUUGGUUUAGUUUGAAGUAUAAGAUUCUAAUAACAGGGAAAAGCCUUGAUGCAAUACUACACUGUGCAUUUCUUUUUUCUUAUUUUCCUUUUUGAGUUGGAUCAGGUUUGAUAUGUACUGAGAACCUCUGGACUGCAGUCUGCUGGUCUUAAGAUAAAUGUAGACUUUUACAUUAUUUCAUGAACUUGUCUUUCCUUUUUUGGGAUUCCAGCUGUUGACAUGCAUCAAAUUAUCAAGGGUAGAAUUGCAUCAAGGCCUGUGUAACUUCCUUUUUCCUUUUUUUUUUUGUGUGUGUGUGUUAAGCGGUUGACCAUCCCCUAUGCUGUUGAUGUAUUGAGAGGAUACACCCUGCAUUAGUAAUCCUCCUUUGUUUUCGGUCAAAUGCAGUUUACCUCACUAAGGUUGAUAUGUAAGCACAAUUUCUUUUCCUCUGAUUUCUUGAAGUUACAAGCUAAUGAAACCAUUAUGGUUAUUGUACUAAAAAGUACUGGGUCUUUCUUUGCGGUCUUUCGGUUAGUUUGAUGCAAUUACGAAAACAGUGGAUUGGUACUAUCAGAUUCUAACAAUAAGGCCUAGCCUUGAUGCAAUACUACACUGUGCUUUUUUUUUUUUAGCUAAUGAAACCAUUUGGUUAUUGUACUAAAAAGUACUGGGUCUUUCUUUGCGGUCUUUGGGUUAGUUUGAUGCAAUUACAAAAACAGUGGAUUGGUAGUAUCAGAUUCUAACAAUAAGGCCUAGCCUUGAUGCAAUACUACACUGUGCUUUUUUUUUUUUGGAGCUGGAAAGUCACAGGUUUGAUAUGUAAUGAGAACCUCUGGUUUGCAGUCUACUGUCCUAAGUUUCAUAAAUGUUGACUUUUACUUUAUCUCAUGCACUUGUUUUCCUUUUAUGGAAUUCUAGCUGUUGACAUGCAUCAAAUGAUCAAGGUUAGAGUUGAAAAUAAAAUGAUAGUGAAUUGACUCCUAACUGAAACUAAGGUAUGCUUGGCAUAAUUUCUCCAGGGAAGUUUACUUAGAAAUUGGGGCUUUUCAAAUGGGGCUUAUGUAUUGGGCUUUCAAGAUAGAAUGUAUUUGUCUUGUACAUUGUACGAAGUUCUUUUACUUUUAAACAACAUUUAUUCACUUAAAUGUUGCUUGGUGAAACAAAUGGAGAAGUGCACAUGAGUUUGUCAUUGACAAAGUAGUCUAUGUCUUGUUAGUCAUUUCUUGAAAGUUGUGAUAAAACAACUAUUUACCAUUCUUUUAGUGGGUUGCAAUCUCUCGGAGUCUAUUCUAAGGAAGCAACAACUAUGGCUUACUGGGGAGCCCUUCUCUACUUCCCGCCACAUUGUUAUGUUUCUCGAAGUAUCUUUGUGCUUUUAGUAAAGCCCAUGUGUAAAACCUAGCAAAUCAAGUUGAGGACCAGACUGUAAAGAGUUUACUUAACACUCUUGUCAGCUUUCAGUUUCACUUGACAAUUUAUUUAGCUUGUGUUUCUGGUUAUUCUGGAACAUUGUUGAGAUGUUUACUUUUGGUGAUGUAAUCUUGCAUUUGUCAUUUUGCAGCCAUCACCUGGUAAUUCUUGGCUGGGAUCAUUGAUUGCUACUAUAAUUGGAAAUCUCAAAAUUUCCAUUAGCAAUGUUCAUGUCCGCUAUGAAGAUUGGAUCAGGUCUGUUUUUGUCUUUUACUUGGAUGUCCUAGUUAGGGUUUUCCCAUUAUCUAAGUUAAUUGUUUGCUGCAACUGCAUUUCUAUUUCUACAGCAAUCUGGGACAUCCUUUUCAUGUGGUGUUACUCUUGCAAAACUUGCUGCUGUUACCAUGGAUGAGCAAGGGAAUGAAACCUUUGAUACAAGUGGGGCUUUGGAUAAGUUACGGAAGGUUGGUUAUUUGUCCUUAAAGUAGAGGUUGUUUGCAGAGCAUCACUUGCAGUGAAAUGCUAGGCUUAUAUGACUUUGUCCAUUUUGAGGAUAUUUCAUCAAGAAAUCCUGGAUGUUUAAAUUAUUAUAGGUUUCCUUCCCACAUGAUAGGAGUAUAGAGUGAAUUUUGUACACAGGUCACUAAUAUUCUAUGUUAAAUUUUUGUAAUCCCUGCUUUACUAUGACUUCCUUUGUGUUUCUGAAAGUAGCAAGCAUAUGAUGCUGAAGUAAGAUAAACUGCUGAAUGUUUAAACUGUUAUGUGUGGAGAAGCUGCUUCUAUUAAAUAUAUUUUCAAUCUAGUCAUUCAACUUUUUGUCAGUUGUUUAUUCAAAGACGUUGCAUUCUCGAACUACUGUGCAUUUGUUGUUAAGCUAUUGGUUGGUAAACUUUAUUUACAGUAGGCCAUACUUUCUGCUGUUGGUUUAACAUUGGUUGACAAGAGUUAUUGUCAUUGCAUUGCUCUUUCUACUGAGUUACAAGUUUUUGAUGGUGAUUUGUCUUUAUAUAUAUAUAUAUAUAUGAUGAUAUUGAAUAAAAAUGUUUCCUUGUUAGAGGUGUAUGGACCACGUAAUUGAAAGGAUAUAGUUGACCCUGUGAUUUAUUUGGCUUAGCAUGAAAUUAUGGGUAUGUUUGGAUUGGUAUUGUUUUCAAAAAAUUAUUUUCUUGCAUCACAACGCUUUUUUCAAUCAACUUUUUAUCUUUCAAACCACCUUUUAUCCCACAUACAUCACAUCAUAAAAAGUGCUGCAGUAAUUAUUCCAAAUAAAAUUUCAAAUAAUAUCCUAUCCAAACACACUUGUUGUUUUUGUAAGUGGCAUUAGCCACUGAUUUAACACACUAUUUUAACUAAUAUUGACGUAUGAAAAUUGGCCAUUGUGAUUUGAUAUUUGUUUGAAUUGAUAUGAAUCAUAUCUCUUGAGUACUUCAUGAAAUGAAUUCAGUACUUUUUCAGAGCCAUGAAUCCACCUUGACUAUCUGGACUUCCAUGUUCUCAGUAUAUUGUGUGAUUUUGUUGCAGCAAAUGACUUGAAAUGUCUGCCUGUAGAAUUGUCUUUCUUUCCAAAGUUCUAUAUAGGACUUGGCUACGCAUCUUUGUUUAGAAUAUUUGGACUAACUUCGUACAUUCUUGUUGUAGUCAUUGCAACUUGAAAGGCUUUCUGUGUAUCAUGAUUCCAACCGUGAUCCUUGGAAGUUGGAUAAGAAGUGGGAGGAUCUUAGUCCCAAAGAGUGGGUUGAGGUAUAUAAUCUUCUUGCAAGAGUUACUAGCUACAUCUCAUGUUCUGAUUUUCCCUUUAUGUUAGUUACAGAAGCAGUUAGGGAAGGGAUGCGACUUUUUUUAGCGGAUAUUUUAAUUUUGCAUAGUCAGUUUCUUGAUGCAUGCUUUCUCCUGUUUCCUUUUAUUAUAUUUUUCCUUAUACUGACUUUGUCUUUUAGAUCUUUGAAGAUGGUAUCAAUGAGCUUCCAAAUGGCAAUUCUUUGGUGUCUGCAUGGUCACAAGAUCGCAACUUCUUAGUGUCUCCCAUCAAUGGUGUGCUGAAGUAUCACCGUCUUGGGAAUCAAGAAAGAAAUGAUCCAAAUAUUCCGUUUGAGAAGGCUUCUCUUAUUGUCCCUGAUGUCUCCUUGGCGAUUACAGAGGUUAUAUGCUGUGGUUUGCUGCAUUAUUCUAUUAGUUUAUACCGACUUGCGUAUUGCAUCUUGCAUCUCUCUUAUUCUCUGUCUCCUAUGAAUUCCACCCCCAAAAGAAAAAAAGAGAACACCUCCACAAAAGCUCAGUACGAGAAAUUUUUAAUUCUGCCUCAAAACUGGCUUGAAAAAUUGUCUGUCUGAAUGAAAAUUGUGUAUGAUUGCUGGCCAAGACCAUCUGAUCAUUGUUUUUUUUCUGUUUGGAGCUCAUUAUUUGUAACUCUUCCAAAAUUUUCCUUUCCCGUCCUCUUCCUCUUUUUCUUAACAAAGAAAGUAUUUUUUAGUCAUUAUUGUUUUUUCAUUUUUAAAAAUUGUCUCCUCCAUUUUGCAACAAUGAAUGUAAUGAACUUUCCUUGUAGGCUCAAUAUCAUGACUGGAUAAGACUUAUGGAGGUGAUUUCAAGAUAUAAGACAUAUGUUGACAUCUCUCAUUUAAGACCAAUGGUUCCAGUUUCAGACAAUGCAACAUUAUGGUGGCGAUAUGCUGCUCAGGCUGGAUUACAGCAGAAGAAGAUGUGGUAACUCAUAUAUUGAACAGUAGUGCAAUGUUGCUAAAUAUGUUAGUUUAUACAUGAUUUUCCUCUUGCUCCUUUUACACAAGGUUUUUCCUAUUUAAUGAAUACGGACUUCAGUCCCUAAAUUAUGUAUUCUUAAGAAUUGUGUCAUUUAUGCAGUUGGUUUAUACUCUUAUCUAAAGUUUUAUACUAGUAUUAUUCUAUAAAUUAGUUUGAUUAACGCAUUCUCCUUGAUAUUUCAGUUACCGACUUUCAUGGGGCCAGAUUAAGUGCCUGUGCAAUCUUCGUCGACGUUAUGUGCUGUUAUAUGCUACUUCAUUACAACGGUCUUCAAAUAUUGACAACUCUGCUAUCAGAAAUAUCGAGAAAGAUCUAGAUCCCAAAGUUAUCCUUUUGUGGAGGUAUAGAGAGCUUCCCACGUCGCCCACCCCAAUCUUCUCUUGAGUUAAUUCUUUUACAUUGAUGGGGUUGUGCUUAUGGAAUGUGUUCUCAAACUAGUUGAUUAUUCCUCAACUAAGUUGUUGUGAGUUGUUCUUUGUUUUACCUACAUUUAAGUGGUGGGGUAUUCUUAUUAUGGUGAAGUGUGUGCGCACAAAUUCUGCUUCUUGUUCAAAAAAAUAAAGAAGAUAUGAUUUUGCUGUUCUGAUCUAUCAAGAGAGUUUUGCCCUGUUUAAGAUCAAAUCUAUGUGCGCCUUUUGCUCUAUCUGAUAUUGUAUCACUAGCUGAUUCUGGCCUACCAUUGAGUUUUAGUUAUUUUAAAUGGUCUGUUUGUGUGUCAAAACUUCAGAAGUCAGAGGAAUCUGUAUAUUUUGACUUUCUGAAAUUGUAAAGUUUUUGAACAUGAUUGGUUGGUUACUAGUACAUAUGUCAUAACAGGAGUUUUUAGUGGCCAUGGAAGUGAGAAGAGAAGUUGCAAACAGAAAUUUAUUAAGGUUAUGUCUUGCUGUGGUGUUCAUUUACCCUUUCCUUAGUUGAACUUGAUAAUUGUAGAUCUCAGCCUCCUACUAAUUCUUUGAGUUUGCAUCAUAUCUGCUAUUCAGAUGAUAGUGUUGGAUGCUUCAUGAUGUGACAAUGCCUAUUAUCCCUAGUUAAAUGGACGACAAAUAGAAAAUUUUCUUUUGAUUGUUGAGAGCAGACUUUAUAUGAACCUGUCAUACCUGAUGCAAUUAAAUCUUCAGAAGUUUUCCAAAUGGGAAUACGGUUGAUGUAUACUUGAUGGUACUUCUGUGCAACAGCUUCUUUUCCCUAGAUAAAUUACUAUGCAUAUGAUGAACUUGUAAAAGAAAAUAUAAUUGAUCUUGUAUUGUCAUGUUUAUAGUCGUGGGUGAUGACUUUUCUGUAUAUUGGAUGUGUCCCUCUAGGUUACUUGCCCAUGCUAAGGUUGAAUCUGUAAAAUCCAAGGAAGCAGCAGAACAGAAGAUGCUUAGGAAGAGAAGCUGGUUUUCCUUUCGAUGGUUUGUAAUUGUUUAUUUUCUUGAAUUUAUUUAUGUUUGUGUCCCUUGUUUAUAUGCUGCUUUAUUUUUCUGAAUUUUUUUCCUUUUCUUGACAAUAUAUUUAGAUUUGUCACUUAGUCCAUUUUCAAUGGGUUUAAAUAGUUCUUUCAAUCUCAGGCGAACUCCUCCCGAAGAUGUCUCAGCAGACAAUACUUCUGAGGGAUCACAGAUAGUGGAGGAAAGAUUGACUAAAGAAGAAUGGCAGGCAAUCAAUAACCUAUUGAGCUUCCAAUCAGAUGAGGAUUUGACCUUACAUCCAGCAAAAGAAAUGCAAAAUAUGAUCAGAUACUUGGUCGAUGUAUCUAUAACUAGAGCUGCUGCUAGGAUCAUCAAUAUCGAUGAUACUGAGAUUGCUUGUGGUAGAUUCGAGAAUCUUCAUGUGUCGACCAAAUUCAAGCAUCGAAGCACACACUGUGAUGUGACAUUGAAGUUCUAUGGAUUGUCUGCUCCUGAAGGCUCUCUUGCCCAGGUUUGCCUUUUGCAGAAUGCUUUGUUUACUAUGGCACGAUUUAAGCUAGUCAUUAUGCAAAUUAACGAGUGUUUAGACAGUAAAGAAAUAGAAUGGAACAAGAUAUGGAAAUCCUGUAAAUUGCCUUUUCCUACACUGUUACUAUUUGAUGUUUUAUAGUAGGUUAAUACCGAUUAGUUGUUUUUAGCUCAACUCGGACUUUUGACUGCUUCUGAUUAAUUUGACGCUUCUCAUUUUUGCUGUUGUUUAUAUUGCACUUUUGAUUGAAACUCAUAGCGAAACUACAAUUCUCGAAAGGAGCUAGUUAUCUCUUAGUAUGUUUUUGCAUUUAAUGAGUUCCUUGAUCUUUUGUUUUAAGGAAAAUUCCAUGAGGUUGGCUCUUAGUUUGCCAGUCCAUCUGCAAAGAAAUACUGUCUUGAAUGCUUAUUGGACAUUUUUAGGGGAACAUUAGGAAAUUAUAAAACAAUUUUUUAUUUGAUGGUGGGUAUUGUGAGAUCCUUUCACCUGUCCAGAUGGGGCAGUAUCAUGAAAUGAUGGUUUACUUCAAUCCAUAGCAGGGCAUUUUUUUUUUAAUGUAGUAAUUUUUGUUUCAGAGUGUUUGCAGCGAGCAGAAGGUGAAUGCAUUAGCUGGUAGUUUUGUUUAUUCACCAACGGGGGAAAAUCUAGACUGGAGGCUUUCGGCAACAAUUUCUCCCUGCCAUGUCACGGUAAUCAGAUUUGUUAGCAUGAAUUAAGUAAAAGCAUUUAUCUUUAUUAUUAUUUGGAGGUCCUCUGUUUGUUGUUGCUUUCCAUAAAUGAUGUGUAAAAUAAGCCAAUACAAUUGCAAACGGAACCUUCUGUAUCAUAAGAAAGAUCUGCUUAUGUUUUCCCUGGUUUGGUAGAUGCUGCUACUACUUUCCAUAUUAUCAGUAAUUGUGGCAAGUCAUUGUAAAGGACAUUUAUCUUUUAUCAUGCACUUGGUUCUUUACUUUUUGGAAGUAUUAUUGAACCUUUUUUCCUUCUAGAGUCAAAUCAGCAGGAUAUCUGGCAGCAUGAGUUUCUUCAGCCAAACUGAAAGUUAUGCAUUGAGUUUGUUUGGAUAGAGAGAAUUUGGAAAAAAAAAUUUUGCCUCACAAAUUCCAAUCACCUUUUUACCUUCCCAAUCACCUUUUUAUCUCACACACAUCACAUCACAAAAAGUGCUACAGUAAAUAUCCCAAAUAAAUCAUCCAAAUAAAUUCUUAUCCAAACAAACUCAUUGAUAUUUCAGUGGAAUCACACAGUGACAGUAGUAGUAUUGAAUGAAAACUUUGUGCUAAAGUAAGCUCUCUUGCUGCAGUCUCACAAAUUGUGAUCUGGAGGACGUGAAAACAUUGGACCCUUUGAUUUUUUUGGGGGGUGGGUUAGGAUUUUGGGUAGGGAGAUUUUGUGGAGGAUUCUUUUUUUUUAUUUUAUUGGAAUGCUCAAUCCAUUCAACUUUUACAGAUCUAUGGAUGGACUCUGAAACAGAUAACAGGAACUUAGGAUUUGAGAGCUUCUUCCCAAUGCCAUGCCUUUUCUGAAAUUUUUUCAUGUAAGAUAGGGACACUUCAAGAGUCAACUGAGAAGACAGGUUAACAAGUUAUCAACACGAUUCCUAUUAGCAUACCCAUAAUUCCACUCAUUCCCUGUUUUUCGGUACAUGGGAGAUUUAGCACACUUACACAGCAAUGUCCAUACUGGCUUGUAGAAGAACCUUAUUUAUAGCAGUCACUAGGGUUAAUUUGGUUAAGAUUCAUCAUCCUAGUGAAAGCAUUGAUUUCUUUGCAAGUAACCUUACCUUUGCAUUGAAUUGGAAGAUAAACUAAUGGAACAAUUUUUUGCAAUAAUGUAGAGUCAAACAUUUUGGUUGCUCCUGUUGUUGCUUUUGGAUUGAAUUUCUCAAAUAUUCUGAAUUGUCAACGAUUUGAUAGGUUUUCAUGGAAAGUUACAAUCGCUUUCUGGACUUUCUGAAGAGAAGUAAUGCUGUUAGCCCUGCAAAACUGCAACUGCAUUGCAGGUAUCAUUUUGUGCCUGUUUUUGUUUUAAUUAUCAUUUUGUGUCAAAAAGUCUGAUCUAGUUUCUUGUUGGUUAACUUGUGAUAUAAUGAAAAAUGCUUUAUCAUCUAUGACAGCAUAAGAUUGAGAAAGUGACUCGUAGAGCUCAAGAGCAAUUUCAAAUGGUGUUAGAAGAGCAAAGCAGGUUAGCCAAUUGAAUAUUCCUUCAAUUUUUUCACAUUUGGAUUUGGUUAUAGAGAUAAGAAGAUUCUUUAUGACUCUACAAAAUAAUUGUAGUAUUUGAAAAUGUUUUUAAGUGGUACCUAAUCAACCUCACUUGGUGUUGAAUCAAAAGCCCAUGUGCUUGAGUUGGAGAGAGAAUGGUACUUUUUAUGGUGUGGUUUCCUGAUAGCUCUUGUUGAGAGGAAGUGAUUCCAAUUUUGGUGUCCACUGCCUAAUGUUUCUCUUCUAUACCAUGUCUACAUGAUUCGAAUUUUCCUUAGUUUGGAUGGGACUCGAAUUUUAUGUUUUUAAUUCUUUGUCUGGAGUGUUAAAAGGUUCCAGACUUAUUUCUGCAAUCCCUACUUUGUAAAUUUUCUUUUGACUGAUAAUUACCUAAGUGUACAUAAGGAGAAGAGGAGAACAUUGCAUAUUAAUUGGCCAGUCUUAACCAUGGUUUGAAUGCCGCACUUCCCUCACGGUCUUCCUUCAACGACUGUGUUAUAAAUUUGUAUGACUUUUUAGAAUAAACAUUCAGAUGUUGAAGAGGCUAGAUGUACUGUCCUUUAGCAUAACAUUUUUAGUUGAUUUUUAUUUUUCAGGUCUUUUUAAUUAUAAAAAAAUCCCAUUUGUACUUGGUAUAUGUGGAUUUUGCCAUUCUGUCUGCUCUGUCGAUUUGUAUCUUUUUGUUGGUGCUUUACGUCCUCCUUAUUUUAACUUACAAAUUGAGAAAGUUGGCUCUGCUUCUCAGUUUGUUUAUGAAUUUUACUUGUGCUCCUAAAGUCCUUUAUGCUUCAGUUAUUCUUUGGAAUGUUCCAAUAGCUUCAGGGGUGUUUAGCUCUUCUUGUAAACUGUUGAUCCAUGCUUUGUUUUUUGAGGAGAAGCUUGCGUUUCUGACUUAUUGUUUCGGUCUUUCAGAUUUGCUCUUGAUAUUGAUCUUGAUGCUCCAAAAGUACGAAUUCCCAUUAGAACUGCUGCUUCUUCUCAAUGCGAUUGCCAUCUUCUUUUUGAUUUUGGUCAUUUUACACUGCGCACCAAGGUAUGUAAAUUUUUAUUAAUUCUUGUCAUGACUCUGCAUAUUAUUGGCUAAACCUGUUUCAAACUUGCAGGAUGAUGAUCAGUUCAAUGAUCAGGGCCAAAGUCUAUAUUCUCGUUUUUUCAUUUCCGGCAGGGACAUUGCUGCUUUCUUUUCAGAUUGUGGUUUGGAUAGUCAAAGUUGCAGUUUGGCAUGUCAGCCUUCAAUUUCUCCUAGUUUGCAAGAUGUAGAUAGCAUAUAUUCUUUAGUUGAUAGGUGUGGAAUGGCUAUUAUUAUUGAUCAGGUAUGCUUGAUAGAGGAGUAUCAUUACAUUGAAGUGUUUAACAAUCAAGAUUAAUGUUUUAGUUAUUGAUUAUCGUUAUACUGGUUUUUUGUUUUUUAUUUUGUUAUGUUGAUGAAGAUUAAAGCACCGCAUCCAAGCCAUCCGUCAACCCGUGUUUCCAUUCAAAUGCCAAGCCUUGGCAUCCAUUUUUCACCUGCCAGAUAUUGCUGGCUUAUGGAAUUGGUAAAUAUAUUUUAUGGAACAAUGGAAACCUCCGAGCAACUUGUGACUGAUAGUUUGCAGACUGAGUUUGCCCCCUGGAAUCCUCCAGAUCUUGCAACAGAUACUCGAAUACUUGUUUGGAGGGUAAUUGUUUGCUUAGAGAAUGUAAUCAGCACUAGAAUAUUUCUCUUCAUCUCAAUCUACUAAUCAUAUUCUUUCCUUUCAGGGGAUUGGCUAUUCUGUUGCAGCAUGGGAACCUUGUUUUAUUGUGUUAUCUGGCUUUUAUCUUUACAUUCUGGAGUCUGAAACAUCCCACAGUUACCAGCGCUGCUUGAGGUUGACUUAUUACUGUCAUUCGUAUUCAACCUGUUGCUCCUUUUAGUUGAGCAAUUUUUGGUGUACAUAUGAGUGCCAAAUAAAACUCUUUUGUCAUGCUCUUUUGGUUGCCUGUUAAGAAAAGAUUUUAGUUUUGAUCUGUAGGUGUUCUUUCUUCAGUAUUACUUAAUAUAUGUUGAUGUGUUGCAGCAUGGCUGGUAAACAAGUAUUUGAAGUUCCUCCUGCCAAUGUUGGUGGUUCACUUUGCUGUCUUGCUGUUUGUGUCAGAGGUGUUGACGCUAAAAAGGUAGGCAAUGUGUACUUUGAUGAUCAAGUUGUGGACUAUUUUUUUUUUUGGCUAUUGGACUUAUUGUUAUAGUAUCUAAGUAGUUGAAGGCCUUGAUAUGAGGCUAGAACCAUAUAUGAGGAUCCAGGAAGGCAGCAAAUUAUCUAGGCAUUUGUCUGUUUGCUAGGAUAGUGUGGCAAAGUGAAGGAAAGUUAAAUAUAUUUUUCUUCAUGUAUUUUUGGUUAGUUUCAAUUUUUUCUGCACUGCUCUCCACUUUCCUGCAUUGUGUUUUGUGCAAAAUAGUUGGUUAGACAACAUUUGAAUACCUGCUACCAUAUCACUAUGUUCCCAUUUUCUCUCAAACUUUUUUGGGCAACCAAAUGUGCCUGGAAAAUAAUUUUAGUUUUCCUUUGCCUCGCUUUCCUGCCUUUCACUUUCCCACACAACAUUCCCUCUAUUCAAACACAGCCAUAGAGUCUUUAAAGUAAAGGAUGGUAUAGAUCAUUGAAGCCCAGUAUUUCACCUAUUGUGCGACAAACUAGUGCUGUGGAAAAUUUUGAAGAGUUACCGUAUGCUUUGUAUUAUCACAAGUUUAGAUGAAAACAAACCUUAUUAUUUAGCUUUGUUGUUCAAGACAUAUGUUCUAGCCAUUUCCCAUGCCCUCAAUUGUUGAUUGGCAGUAGAAUUAUUAAAAUAGCUCAAUGAUGUAUAUUCUUCCUAUUGAGCCUCUUUUUUGUGCUGAAUUGGUCCCAAGUUUCUUUGUCAGACAUCAGAUUUUGAUUUGAUAAUAAUGAACAGAUAUAUAAGACAGCAUAUUAAGGUUUUCUCAUGCUUCAUUUUAAUGCAGCGGUUUUGCACUUAUUUUUUUCCUAAUCCUUGAAUUUUAUACUGGUUUCCUUUAGUUGUUUUAAUCAAAAUAUUCAUUCUGGCUUGAAUUUUUGUUUUAAUUGUAUUAUUGGUUCUGGCUAGAACUUGUCUGAAUUUGAUCUUUGUUUCUUAACCAUGCCUUUAACGUGUAUGCCUUUGCAUUCUUUUAUGGAGAUUUUUGUCAUGAACUCAAUCUUAUGCUACCUCCUUAGGCUCUGGAGUCUUUUAGCAGUUUGAUUAUUGAGUUUCGAGAUGAGGAGGAGAAGGCAGCUUGGAUGAGAGGACUUGUGCAGGCUACAUAUCGAGCUUCUGUAUGAUUCAAAAUUAUUUUGUUUUGGUAGUCAAACUUGAAAUGCUGUAUAUUAUUGUUUUUGUACACUAAUUUUCAUAAUCGUCGGGAUAGGCUCCUUCAUCUGUAGAUGUAUUUGGAGAAUUAAGUAAUGAUGCAUCAGAGCUUGCUGAAUCUCAUGCCAUUCAUGUGAAGUCAGUUGACCUUGUUGUUAACGGGACAUUGGUAGAAACAAAAUUAUCGUUAUACGGCAAGGUUGGUCUUGUGCUUUUCCAUGCUAAUUACAGUUGAAUUUCCAUUAUGAUAAUCCUAUCAGUUAUUUAGAUAGCUCUUAGUGUAAUUUGUCUCUGCUAUUUACUUGCCAAUUUGCAGUCCGAAGAUGAGAUGAACAGGAGACCUGAGGAGAGUAUAAUUCUUCAGGUUCUUGCUGGUGGGGGAAAGGUGUGUUACGUGUUGUAUACUGGAAUAUUUAAUGGUAUUUUGAAUAAGAUUCUUCUCUACAUUAUGUCUGGAAUAUUCAAUAGUAUUUUGAAUAAUAUUCUUCUUUACAUUAUGUUCUUGUAUGAUGUCCAAGUGAUUAGUUUUUCAUAGGUAUGUUCUAGGCUCACAGAUUAAAGAAUCUUUAUUCUUUCCUAUGCGUCUUUUCCAUGCAGAAAUGGUAGCUGAUGAAAUAAGAAUAGAAAUUUGUCAUAGUGUUUUGGUGCGAGGAGAGAUGGGAAAGUGAAUGAAAGUUAUCUUCUCCUUUUUGACUGUCUGGCAGGAAAAAUAUCCUAUAUUUAUCCUCACUUCUGUGCAUUUUAUGUGCUGCAAAGUAUCCUAUAUUUAUCCCUCAGUUAUAUUUAUCCUCUAUUUAUCUGUAGAUGAAUAUAUGAUAAAUAUCCUAUAUUUAUCUGUAGAUUGCAUAACUAUUUCAGGGAUUAAUUCAGCUUUGGUUCAUCUGCAAUUGUUUGAUUUGCUUGAGUAUUGAGAUGUUGGUAUUUACCAUCUUCAACAUGUGUUGCUUUGCUCUUUUUAGGUGUGUGUAUCACGUUGCAUAGGUGACCUAUCUGUUAAGAUGAAACUGCACUCAUUGAAAAUUAAGGAUGAACACCAGGGCUCCUCCUCUUCUGGUCCACGGUAUCUAGCCCGCUCUUUUGUUGGGGAUCGAGAUUCAGGCCACAACCUUGAUUUGUUGAAUCUGAUAGGAGAGAGCAGUUGAUGAUGGAAGAGGAUGAUAACUUCAAAGAUGCUUUGCCAGAAUUCAUGCUCUUGCCUGAUUCUCCUGAAACAUAUAUUGAUGAGAAAGACAAGUUGAAGGGAAAAAGUGUUGCCAGUGAUGUUUUCUAUGAGGCAGAGGGUGCUGAUGACACUGACUUUGUUUCUGUUAUAUACUUGACACGAAGUCCUGCUUCUCCUAAUUAUGAUGGUAUUGAUACACAGGUAAUUGCAUGAUCUUUUUUAAACAUGGUGGUAGUAAACAUUUGGAAAUUAAUUGUUUCAUUUGCUGGCUAAUUUUUGUUAAAAACCUUUGCAGAUGAGUAUUAGGAUGUCCAAGUUGGAAUUUUAUUGCAACAGACCUACUCUUGUUGCUUUGAUCAAUUUUGGCUUUCAAAUUAGUUCAGCAAAUAGUGGGGCAAAUGGUUCAAAGGCGGUAAAUGUUUCAGAUGAUGAAUCUUCGUGAAGAAAGAGAAGACCGAAGAAUAUGGGAAUUCAUUUGUUACAGGGUUGCUGGCUAUGGGAAAGGUCGGUUGUGUUUUAUAUGAAUAUGAAUGUUGACAGUGUGACUGUAUUUCUCAACAAUGAGGAUGGCUCUCAGCUCGCUAUGUUUGUGCAAGAAAGUUUCUUGUUGGAUAUCAAGGUGUGAUACUGAUGCCAUUUGUGUUGUAAAUUUUGACAUUUAUAUUUAGUUCUAGAGUCCCUGGAUUGAUUAUUCUCAUGUCAUUUGAUGGCUUAUUGUACCGGGCAAUCCUCGAUUCAAUCUUUUUCAGGAAAAGUAUGGAUUAAUUUCUUUUUUUUUUUUGUGCUAUGCAAUAUGACCUGCUUAUUGCUCUUCAUGUUUUGCCUGGACUAAGGUUCAUCCAAGCUCUACUAGUGUAGAAGGAUCACUAGGAAACCUUAGGCUGCGUGAUCUCUCACUUGGAUCAAAUAACUUUUGGGGGUGGCUCUGUGAUAUACGAAAUCAGGGUACUGAAUCCCUUGUGCAGGUACCCUACCAAUCCAUUUCAUAUGUACUGAAUUAGUUAAAAACUUUGAAGUUUAUUGUCUAUUGUUUAUUAACCUCUCUGUAUGCGUGCAUGUGUGUGUCUCAGUUCAAGUUUAGUUCUUACAGUACUGAAGAUGAUGAUUAUGAAGGAUAUGACUACAGCUUGCAUGGCCGACUUUCUGCAGUUCGAAUUGUUUUCCUCUAUAGAUUUGUUCAGGAGGUUAGUUUGAUUUUUUUUUUGUACUGCUCCAUGAUUACUUCUUUAGCUUAAUAAGCAUGAUGUCCUAGAUUCAUAGAUGGAUAGAUGUCUUUUGAACGUGGGCUGCCUCCUCCUUUCUUCUGCAAUGGCUCCUCAAUUGCAUGAAGAUAACAUAUCCCCUCUCUCUUAUGCGUACAAUUGUGUAUAUCCUCUCUUUAUAUAUUCCUAUCUGUAAGUGUGUGUGUUUAUCCUUGUCAGAUAGGCCAUAAGAAAUUUCUGUUAUGCUUUAUAGGAUAUAACAGCAUCUAGGCAUUUUUGUUACUGAUAUAAUAUGGUGAUAUGCAAGAGCAUUUUGGAUAUGAAAGCUACCUACAUCUGUCUUCCUUUUGCUUAAAUUAUUUUACAUUGUAUUCUUUUGCCAUUAAUUGUGCAUUACAUUUUUGAGUAAGAGCUGCAUGUGUUUCUUUAGAUAACUGCUUACUUUAUGGAGCUCGCCACUCCACAUACUGAGGAAGCAAUCAAACUUGUUGAUAAAGUUGGAGGUAUUGAAUGGUUGAUUCAGAAGUAUGAGAUUGAUGGUGCUUCUGCCAUUAAGCUGGAUCUCUCGCUAGACACUCCAAUCAUAAUAGUCCAAGAAAUUCGACAAGCACAGAGUUAGUGCAUGCUCAAUAUUUUGGUAUUUUUUAGUGGGUGCUUUUAUGUGCACAAUGUAUUCUCUGACUUGCAUUUUCUUGGGGGUUUGCCAUAUACAUGAUGUCUUAAGCUUUAGGAAACUUAUGUUUUAAUUAUGGAUCUUAAAUUUUAUAUGCAUAUAUUCUUUAUACUAAACAAGGCUUGUUUCCAGCAUUUGGACAUAGAGUACUAUAUCUGCCUCACUGCUUUAUUUGACUCAAUUUCUCAAUUUCUAACCCAUUCUUCCAUUUUGCCAACCUUUCUACAUGAUUUACUGACCUUCUAUUUGCAUCAUGCUUGUUUCAUGACUUGCAUAAGUGCAAGAAUUAUAGCUGACUUAUCUUGAAAGAACGAACUUAUUGCAUUUCUUUGAUGCAGCUUCAUGCAACUUGAUCUAGGCCAUUUACGAGUCAAAAACGAAUUUAGUUGGCAUGGUUGCCCCGAGAAAGAUCCUUCAGCUGUUCAUCUGGACAUUCUUGAUGCUGAGGUAAUUAAUUUUCAUCGUUUUCUUAUUUUAAACCAAAGUUUUAGGUACUAAUACGAAUUUUGGUUGCUAUAUUUCAGAUUGUAGGAAUCAACAUGGCAAUUGGAGUUGAUGGUUCUAUUGGCCUACCAAUGAUACGGGAGGGCAAUGAUAUUCAUGUUUAUGUACGGAGAAGUUUGAGAGAUGUUUUUAGGAAAGUCCCAACAUUUGCUUUGGAAGUGAAGGUAAAUUGUGUUAUUAAACAUUGAUUUAGUUACCUUUAGUUUCUUUGUUUUCUUUUAUUUUGGUACAAGCAUCUUUAAAUUGUGUUAUCCUUCAAUGCAUGGAAUUAAAACUUGGAACUUUUAAAGCAUUUUGGUGCCUGCUGUAGACCCUACUUGACUGAUGGCAUUGGUCUUUAGCAUGAAGACCUUAGUUUCCAAUGGGACACUGCACUGAGGGCUAUUUUGUUUGCCAGACUUUGAUCUUAUGAUCUUCUGGGGUUUGGGACAUUGAAAUGGGAUAUGGGAACUUGGCUGACUUGAGGCUGAGCAUUGUGAAAUUUUCCAUCUCAUCGUUUAAUUAUAGCUUGAAAAUGGAACAGUACUUCUUUGGCAAAUCUAUGAAUCUGAAGUUAGAUCAUUCACAUUUUAUGCUCUUUCAGCGUUUGACAGUUCCUUUAUGUCUUACUUUUGUUUUCUUCGUUUUUCAUUCUUUCUAUUUGGGUAACAGGUUGGUUCAUUGCAUGCCGUGAUGUCUCAUAAAGAAUAUAAUGUUAUUCUUGAUUGCUUCUAUAUGAACUUAAAUGAACAACCAAGACUUCCUCCUAGCUUUCGAGGCACAAGUCUGCUUCAAAAGAUACAAUAAGAUUGCUGGCAGAUAAGGUCAACAUGAAUGGUCAAGUAAUUUUGUCACGAACAGUUACGAUAAUUGCUGUAAAAGUCGACUAUGCGCUAAUGGAGGUUUACCACGGACUUCUUGAGGAAUUACCUCUGGCUCAUGUUGCUGUGAGUACCUCUGUCCAUAGAAUGCAUUUUUAAGCCUAGUCUUCAAGAGUUGACCGUUGGAUUUUGGUUAGGAGUAUUUAUCAUAUUCAUUUUAAUAAUCAAGAAUGUCUUUGUUUGUCAUAUUCAUAUCCUCUUUAAGGAGUAUUUAUCUGCAUAUAUCCCCUGUUCUUGCAGCUUGAAGGUCUUUGGGUAUCAUACCGAAUGACUUCAUUGUCCGAAGCAGACCUUUAUAUUACCAUUCCCAAGUUUUCGAUAAUAGAUAAUCGCCCGAGUACGAAACCUGAAAUGCGCCUGAUGCUUGGUUCUUGUACUGAUGUUAUGAAGCAGAUGUCAUCUGAAUCUACAGCUGAUGUACCCACCUCAACAAUGUUUGUGAUGGAUUGUCGAUGGCGGUUAUCAUCCCAAUCAUUUGUUGUUCGGGUGCAACAGCCUCGUAUUCUAGUUGUUUUAGAUUUCCUUCUUGCUGUUUGUGAGUUUUUUGUGCCAUCUUUGGAACGCUUACUGGCAGGGAGGAGAUGAUGGACCCCAAGAAUGAUCCAGUUAUUAAAAGCAAAAGCAUAAUCCUACUGACUCCGCUUUACAAACAGAUAGAUGACAUGGUGAUUUUAUCCCCAAACAGACAGUUAGUAGCUGAUGCUGUUGGUGUUACUGAAUAUGUAUAUGAUGGUUGUGAAAGACUAUCUGUCUCUCCGAUGACAAAGAUAACAAAAGUUUCAGUCAUCAGGAAAUUGGCCCAUAAUUGUAAUCGGACGCGGCAAGAGGUUGAGAUUUAUGAAUGUGAAAAUCGAGGUAUCAAGACUUGCUCUGAUAAUGGCAUGAAUGAGUAGAACAUGCUUGUCGUUUAUUUAUAUACAUAAUAAAUCAUUACAAAUGCACAAAAGGGUAAAAUUUGAGGUGUACAGGAGAUAGGCAUUAUACUUUGAAGCUUCGCGACAACAUAUUCUUUUAACUGAAUUAAGCUUUGACUAGUGUUAUAUUUGGUUCUAUAAAGGAGUCAAAUAUCUGAUUUGUUAUUUGGUAAUUUGGUGAUUGUCCCCUCGUGUCUGGAUAUCUUCCUCUCACUUUCUUUUUCAACUCUUGGUUCUUUUCUUAGUGUCCUCAAAAUUAACAAUGAAACUAUUUCUAGCUGCUCUUAACUGAUUUCUAAUGCUCGAGAUUUUUCUAAUUUAGCUGUCAAAAUUUUGGCUCUUCCAUGUUAAGGGAAUUGAGGAAGAAGAUAAAAGCAGGCUAUGGAUGAGUAAUAAAUUGUCUGCUUGCAGUCGCAGGAUGAAUUACUAUCUUUGGCAAUGAAGUUCCAUAAUAUCUAAGAAUUCUCGCAACACGGUCUAUGAAGACCCUAAUAGGGGUUUGAUGAUGGAACCUCUUAUUGCGUGUGCUCUCUAGAUGUAUUCCUGUGCAGUGUUCUUGAGCAUAUGAAUUUCUGGAGAUAUUCUAGCUACUGUUCAGUAUUUGUUGCAUGGCUUGCAUGUUUGGAGAAUUUUGAACCUCUUUCUCCAAACCAUCCCUUCUUGAGCUUUCUUCUGGUUUUUAACAUUUUGCUGAAAUUAGUUCAUAUGUCCACUGGAAAAACAUUGUCUGCUGCAUGUGUUUUUAAAUCACUUUCUUUAUUUGAUGUUGCUUAUUUUUCAGAAUGGUUCACUCUUGACCAAGCACACGUACUUGAGUAAUGAAAGCAGCUAUACAGUGUUCCAAGAGGAUGGUGUGGAAUUAUAUUUCUGAGAGUAAGUCUUCUAAUGGCAGAAAACAUCCAGAUCACAGGGAAGAGUUGUGUUAUACUUCUGAUGCCUCUGACUCUUUUCAAACUGAAUCAUGCAAGUUGCAAAGUUUUGAACUGGAUCUCUGGUUUGAUUUGACUUGCUGUGAUUAUAUUGAUUUUGGGUUAGUGGCUACUAAGAAUAACUAUGUUCCGCCAUUGCUGGCUAAAGACUGUUUUCUCAGCUAUGAGAUGACUAGGCUGAGCUACUCAAUCUCCUCUCUAGAUACAUGCGCUAAGCAGGGUCUUGAAGUUCUUUUAUUCCCAUUUUCUAUAUUACUGUUGGCUAAACUCCAAUCAUGUUGCCUUGGAAAUCCUAAAGUUCGCAUUAUUAAAUCUUAUUUUUGUUGGGCCUUAUCCUUGAGCAAUGUGUUCCAUUUACUGUUGCAUGUUCCAAAUCAUCUGCAAAUGGAUUGUAUAACUGAGCUUUUCAGGUGUUGAAUGUGAGAAUAUUCUGUGUUCUGUAUCAUAGAUAUACAUCUACAAGGCGGACAGGAACACUUAUUAGUAUUGUUACUGGAUUAGCUCUUCUUUUUGCAGCUAGUAUGCCACUUGCACUUCUCAAAGCUUUCUUAUUUUUUUUCCUCCUGUUCUGAAGUCUUUCUUCUAAGUUAGCUUGUUAUUGUCAUCAAACAGAACUUUGUAAUGAGCAAUUAGUAAUAAGCGGAGAGAAUUAGGUGGAGUUCAUCUUCUUUGAUAGAUUCUUUGCUGGGAGGUAACUGUUUUAGCUAGAGUUAGGAACUAAGAAAUAAGUGUACAAACAAUGGCCAAAAAGUUAGAGAGUUAGGAACUGAGGAAUAUGCUGUGGAGGAUGCAUUGUUAUGGUAUAUCAAGAGGUCAGAUUCAUUUAGCAUACACCAGAGUGCUCCUCCAAGGAGAAAGCCACAAAAUAUCCGUGUUGUAGGCUGUGAAGAAAUGAGUGACCACAAAUAAAGCUGAAUAAACAGAAGGACAAAAUACACUUUUUAGCAUAUAACUCCCUUAUGGUAUAGUGCUUUACUACAAAAUAUAUACAUACCCCCCUAUGGUUAAUAAAUAAUUUUCAACUUUACAUAGGGAUUACUUUUGACAUUUUAGUUGACUUCGUUAUGGAAUACAAAUUCUGUCAUUUUGACACUUUAAUCCAAACCAUGAGGGGGAUAUGCAUAGCUUUUGAAACCAUUCGGGGGUUUAUGUGAAAAAACACUUAAGCACAGGGGGGUAAAGUGUAUUUUGCCCUAAACUGAACGGGGGCAGGUGAAACUUGUGGUUUUGAAGAAAUUAAACUUCUAUGAACCUAAACAAAGAGUCAGGUUUUCUAUGCUAAUGCUGAAUACUUGCUGAAAGUAUGGUGGAUUUUAGUUGAGUUGUUUGAAGGUGGAUCUAGAAAUGCAUGAAGGGGUCCCCUGGUGUUUCAAAGUCUAAGCAUCUUCGUGAACCUGAGAUUGUCUUGUGUGUCAAAUAUAAGCAGCCUAGCUAUAGUAGGAAUUGACAGUCUAUAGCUUCGGGCUUGUCCAUUAAAAUAUUGUAUGUAUUGCACAAUAAACGCCGUUUUCAGUUGCUCAAAACAGGAUUUACACGAUCAUGAUUACAAAUAUGCAAAGCACAGGAUUUGCUUCCUCAAAAAGUUGGAUCUCCAUUUGACAUUUAGCUUAUGUAUUGUUGCUUGUGUUUCAAUACUUCACUCAAUUUGCUUCUUGCUUUCCCCAGGUUGUUUCCCCUGAAUUGACCUUUUAUGACGGUAGCAGCUCAUCCGUUGAUGAUUCUACACGUGGUGAAAAGCUUCUUCGUGCAAAAAUGGAUAUUAGCUUCAUGUAAGACCUAAUAGCAUUUUAUACAACUCAAUUAAUUUAACUUUAGCUUUUCCUUUUCUGAAGUAUUGUGGCAGUAAUCUUCUACAAUGAGCUUGAAUUUGAAACUUAAGCUAAAUGGGAGAUUUCUUGCAUUUUCUUUCUUUCCAAACUUUAACUGUUCAUUGCAAUCUUUGUGGCAGUCAAGAAUGCUUUCUAUUUUCUGAUGCUUGAAUGUGCUGAAAUUUCUAGUUAUGGUGUCUUUAUUAGUUGAACAGUAACUCCAAACGCAAAAUGUACGAGUAGUUUCCCUGCAGGAAUAUUUGGUUUUGGCCUUCUCUUUUCCGGGUUUAUUUUAGCUGAAAUCUAUACCAACUACUUGAUUAUCCAAGGUAUUGAUUGACUGUCUCAACAGGUAUGCAUCAAAGGAGAGUGACACAUGGAUUAGGGGGCUUCUGAAGGAUCUUAGUCUAGAGGCUGGUUCGGGACUUAUCAUACUUGAUCCAGUUGAUAUUUCUGGUGGAUAUACAUCUGUCAAGGAUAAGAUGAAUAUUUCUGUAACAUCCACUGAUAUAUGUGUUCAUCUCUCGUUAAGCGUGCUGUCCCUUUUACUGAACCUACAAGGUCAGGCAACUGCAGCAUUACAAUUUGGAAAUGCAGAUCCCCUGUCUCCUUGUACCAACUUUGAUCGAAUUUGGGUGUCUCCAAAAGGUUUUUCUCGAGUUUUCUAUUAACUUAUUGUUAUGAGGUUGUUUACGUGCCAAAAUCCAUCUUUUUCUUCAUUUGUUUGCUAGUAAGAAAAAGACUUAUUUCCAUAUUGUUAUGUGCAUAAAAGUUGGAGGAUUGACUGCGUUUUCUGUGAGCAGAAAUUGGGCGUCAUAACCACCUCACCUUUUGGAGGCCUCGAGCUCCUUCAAACUAUGUUAUAUUGGGAGAUUGUGUUACAUCAAGGUAAUCAGAACAGCUUCUUGAUUGGAACAGAAUAUGUAAAUACUUGAUUUGAUAUGCACUUUUUGCUGCCAUGUUUGUGCUAGGUUUUGUCUGUUAAUAGUGGUGAAAUUGCUUGUUACUCUUGCUUGGGAUGAUUAAAUAAGUUUAACUUAUACGCUUCCUGAGUAAAAAGAAACGUAGACGAGUAUGUCCAAUUUUUGCUAAGUGCAAAAAAUCUUCUUAUUAAACUGUAUGAUGUAAGUAAUGAUUCGGUAGCCAACGGCAGCUUUGUUGGCAUAAGUCAUUUUUAAGUGACAGGAUCUAAUAAAGACUUCUUGAUUUAAAGCAGAAACACUUUAGUGACAGAAGCCUUAUAUUGAAUUUCAACUUGACUGUGAUAAUGAUGAUUAAAAGUAUGAGAAGGGUUAUUUCCGUUAAGACGCAAAUAGGUUUCAUAUUGUACAGUUGCACUGCAAAUAUGAAAAUCUUUAAGAUUCUCAGAGAGAAGCUCUCUUUUUUUUUUAUCAGUUGCUGUUGGGUGUGGUGACUUAUGAAGAAUGGACUUGACAUGGUUUUGUAGAAGAUAUCACUUGGGUUGCUUUUGGGCUUGUAUUUUUUGUACUUUCAUUCAUGGCAGUUACUUAAGAUGGAGAGGUGCUGAUUCAGUCAGCAUCAUCAUUGCAGCAUUACCCCAUAAAUUGUUUAAUUUCAAGUCAGGAUCCUUUCAGAUGGUGUAUGUGAACUGUCUUGAAGUGUCAACUUUUCCACUAAUACCAUCUUUGGUAUGCAUGAUGCAUUUUUUUUUCUGGGAAAUCUCCAUUGUUUCACCAUGUCAACCUUGGUGGGUUCCCUUGUGUUUUUGAACUGUUGUUUGCUUUGUCUUCUGUAGAUGUUACCUGUUUAAGUAAGAUUUGGAUAUAGAUACCUCUUUUUUAAUAUUCAGAUUGUGGUUACUUCUUUUCAGGCCAAGUCCUCCUUCACAGACUGUUGUGGCUGUUAGUAGCAUGUAUGGGCGUGUUCGAAAACCUCUUGAUUUCAAGCUUAUGGGCACCUUUUCUGGUAUUCAAGGAUCAGCGGGUUUAGAAGGUCAUGCAAAUGAUCAUUAUGAUUGUUCUCUUUGGCUACCAAUUGCUCCACCAGGAUAUUUGGCUCUAGGGUGCAUUGCCCAUGGAGGAAAGCAGCCACCACCUACUCAUAUUGUUCAUUGCCUGCGAUCUGAUCUUGUAACGUCGACUAUGUAUUCAGAAUGCAUAUACAGUGCAGCCUCUUGUGGUUCCUAUACAUCUGGUUUUUGCAUUUGGCGUUUGGAUAAUGCUUUUGGGUCAUUUUAUGCGCAUCCAUUCACCUGCAAUCCUCCUUUGAACAAUUGUUUUGAUCUUAAUCAUCUACUUCGUGGGUUCUCUUGUCAUCAUUCUUCUUCCUCUAGUCAAGUUGCAUCGAGUUCGGUGCUAAGCAUGAGGAUACACGUGAGCUUGUAACUACUCAGGGUACAACUUCAUCUGGAUGGGAUAUUCUCAGAUCCAUAUCAAAAGCAACAACUUGUUACAUGUCAACCCCCCACUUCAAGAGAAUCUGGUGGGAUAGAGGUAGUGAUCUUCGCCGACCGGUCUCUAUAUGGCGGCCUAUGCCACGUCCUGGUUAUGCUAUAUUGGGUGACUGCAUUACUGAAGGGUUAGGAUUCAGUCUUCUGCAUUCAUUUUAACCUUUGAUUAUACCUAGCAGUUCUGUAUCAUUAUUUAUGGCAUAUUUGUUUCCUUCUCAGCUUGGAACCACCUCCCUUAGGCAUCAUAUUUAAGGCUGACAAUCCUGAGAUUUCCUCAAAGCCUGUACAAUUCACCAAGGUUGCUCAUAUUGGAAUGAAAGGUCUUGAUGAAGUGUUCUUCUGGUACCAAUUGCUCCUCCUGGUUAUGCUUCUAUGGGUUGCAUUGUAACUCAAAAUGAUGAAGCCCAAAUUUACAAUUGUUUUGCUGCCCGAGGUUGGAUCUUGUUAGCCAAACCAAUGUACUUGAGAUGCCAAUAACAAAAUAUUCGAGCUCAAAGGCAUCCCAGUGCUGGAGCAUUUGGAAAGUUGAAAAUCAGGUUAGGAUUGGUAUGCUGGUGUCCAUUUGUCUCUAUGCCUGGAUUCUGACUGUUUCAUUUCAAGAUUUUAUCCUGAUUUGCACAGACAUGCAAAUUAUAAAAUCUCCCUUUAUCAUUUGGACUCUAACUUAUUUAUUUAGGCAUGCACUUUCCUUGCCCGCUCUCUGAAAAAACCAUCAAGUCGAUUGGCAUUUGCCAUUGGGGAUGCCGUGAAGCCAAAGGCAAGGGAGAACAUAACAGCUGAGAUGAAAAUAAGAUACUUCUCUCUGACAGUUCUGGAUAGCUUAUGUGGAAUGGUUCGUGCCACCUGGGAAAUAGUAUCAGAUUUCCUUUUUUUCUUUUUGUGCAUCUGCUAAUAAGGUAGUUUAAUUUUGUCAUUUCCAGAUGACCCACUUUUUGAUGCAACAAUCACUAAUCUCAAGCUUGCAACACAUGGGCGGUUAGAAGCGAUGAAUGCUGUCCUGAUUGCUUCAAUAGCGGCUUCAACUUUUAACACACAAUUAGAAGCGUGGGAGCCACUUGUCGAGCCUUUUGAAGGAAUAUUUAAGUAUUGUUACAACCUUUUUUCCCUGUCAAAGUUUUUGCAAUUUAUAAUUUUUGUAUAAACAUCAUUGUUUGCUUUUUGUCAGGUUUGAAACCUAUGAGACAAAUUUAAAUUUGCCAUCAAGAAUAGGCAACAGAAUGCGCCUUGCUGCUACCAGUGUUCUAAAUAUCAAUCUUAGUGCAGCAAAUCUUGAGACAUUUGUGCAAACCAUCACUUCAUGGAGAAAACAGAGAGAACUAGAAGAGAAAUCAGUGAAACGAAUUGAGGUUAAUGUAUCUCUAAAUCUCCAUGGUUGCUUCAUUUUAUUAUAGGUUGCUUACUAGGUUAUUGGUCUUGCAGGAAGCUAGUCUUCAUGAUGGACAUGGUGAUGAUGCAACUUUCUCAGCACUGGAUGAGGAUGAUUUCCAGACUGUGAUAAUAGAAAAUAAACUUGGGCGUGAUGUUUUUAUCAAAAGAGUUGAGCAAGAUUUUGAUACAGUUGAAUUAUUACUUCAUGAUUCUUGUGCCUCAGUAUGGCUUCCGCCUCCAAGGUAUUCCGACAGAUUAAAUGUUGCAGAUGAGUCAAGGGAACCACGUCGUUAUGUUGCUGUGCAGAUUGUAGAAGCAAAGGUUCUGAACAUUGCUAACUUUUUUCAAUAGCUAGCUGAGAUUGAGUUCUACUGGUUGUUUCAAUUUUGGGUGAUUAUUCUGGCAUUCACAGGGUUUGCCUGUUGUUGAUGAUGGAAACAGCCACAAUUUCUUCUGUGCUUUGCGUCUGGUUGUAGAGAAUCAGGAAUUAAGUCAGCAAAAGCUUUUUCCCCAGAGUGCAAGAACAAAAUGUGUGAAGCCAUCAAUUGUUAAAUCGAAGGAUGUGGUUGAAGGCACUGCUAAAUGGAAUGAGCUCUUUAUUUUUGAAGUUCCUCGAAGGUGUUCACUGUAGCUUAUUAGAUAUAUAUUAUAUAUAUUAUAUAUAGAGAGAGAGAGAGAGAGAGAGAGAGACCAUGAUUUUUUUUUCUGACAUUAUUUGCAUUUCUCCAGGGGUUGGCUAAGUUGGAAAUGGAGGUGACGAACCUUGCAGCAAAGGCUGGAAAAAGGUGCCUGAUGUUUGCCAUGUUAGAUUAGACUUCGUAGUGAUGUUACUAAAUAUUGAUUUUACUUUAAGUUUCAUUUUUGAUUAAUUGAAAACUUGUUUAUAGUACCCAUUAAACGAAAUGAUUACCUGAACAUGUGACUUGCUUCUUGUUCUGGUGUUUAUGCCUUAGAUGAUCUAAAGAGUUGAAGUUGAUCAUAUAUGUUGGUUUUUAGCAGCCCAAGUUGCGCUGAAUAAACAAAUAUUUGGUGCUUCUGUAUUCUAAAUGGAGAAAGACAUGCUAUUAUCCCUAAUGUUUUAACUGGUAUAAUGCAGGUGAGGUUGUAGGUGCAUCUUCAUUUUCGGUUAGGACACGGUGCAAGUACUCUGAAGAAGGUUGCUUCAGUCAAAAUGUUGCAUCAAGCUUAUGAUUUUCAGAACACUGUAUCCUAUCCACUUAAGAAAAGGGUUAGUCUAAUUGAUGCUAUCAGUCUUUCUGUUUGAAUUUGGGAAAGCAUCGUUAGUGAACUUUAUGUAUUCUUAUGCUUGUUUUCUUCAGGGCCAAGACACUGAUGAUUACCAAGGAUCCGUUCUUGUUUCUGCUUCUUAUUAUGAAGGGAAAAUAGUUUCAAACUUCGAAAGUGAUCGGGCAGGAGGCAGCGAUAUUGCUAGAGAUAUAGGUUUCUCUGUGGGACUUGCUCCAGAAGGUUCCUGGGAGAGUUUUCGGUCUUCUCUUCCUCUCUCAGUAAUUACUAGAACUUUGAAGGAUGAUCUCAUGGCUGUAGAAGUACUCAUGAAAAAUGGAAAAAAACAUGCUGUUUUGAGGAGUCUUGCAACAGUUAUAAAUGAUUCGGAUAUAAAGUUGGACAUCUCAAUAUGCCAUUAUUCUAUGGGUCAAACUCGUGAUCCAAACCUUCAGAGAAGCAAUGCUAAUGUUUUUGUGGAAGAAGUGUUCCAAAAUCAAUGGUAUCAUCCAUCUGGUUGGGGAAAUCACAGGCCUAGUUUGGGAGACGAUGGCCCCAGGCGUUGGAGUAGUAGAGAUUUCUCAUAUUCAUCUGAUGUGAGUGUUUAUAACUUUGCAAGAUGAUACACUUUGCAUUAGAUCUCAUUUUCCGUCCAUUUGAUUUUUUGCCAUCUGAUUUACUUUUAGGAUUUCUUUGAACCUCGCAUUCCGCCUGGAUGGACAUGGGCAUCAACAUGGACUGUUGACAAGUCUUAUUGUGUUGAUGAUGAUGGCUGGGCAUAUGGGCCUGACCAUCACAAUUGCAGAUGGCCACCAAAUUCAGCUACAAAAUCCAAUCUUCAUAAAUUCCGCCGAAGGCGUUGGACCCGUACAAGGAAGCAAGUUAAUGAUCAGGUUGCUGCUAUUACUGAUGUUUUUAAUGCAACUAGUCCUGGUUCUGCUACUAUUUUACCUUGGAGAAGCAUGUCCAGAGAUUCUAAUUGCUGUUUGCAAGUUCGUCCAUGGAUUGAUGAUUCUCAAACUCUAUAUGCAUGGGGACAUUCAGUGGUUCAAGGUUCCGCCUCUGUCUGGGGAAAGGAUCAAUCAUUUGCUGAUCAAGGUGUACCUGCUCGACAGAAUACUAUGAAGGAGGCAAAAAUAUCUACUUCUCCAUUGAGGUUAGAUCAGCUUGAGAAGAAAGAUGUACUAUUCUGCUGUCCUGGCACUGGUGGUAAAAAUUUUUGGCUGAGUAUUGGUACUGAUGCAUCAGUUCUACAUACGGAGCUCAACACCCCCGUCUAUGAUUGGACAAUGUCAGUUAGUUCUCCUUUGAAAUUGGAAAAUAGACUUCCUUGUGGAGCUGAAUACAUUAUUUGGGAGAAAAUAAAAGAUGGUAACAACAUAGAGCGACAGCGCGGCUUUAUAGAAUCCCGUGGAACUGUGCAUAUGUAUCAUGCUGACAUACGAAAUCCAAUAUACCUUAAGUUGUUUCUUCAAGGGGGUUGGAUUGCAGAAAAGGUGUGAAUUGCGAUUUUCAAUGUGUCGUUACAUGCACAUUCCUCAUGGUCCACAUAAUAAUCAAUCUACAAGGUUUUAUUAUCUUGUGAAUAAUUUUUGUUAAUUCACUUUCACAUCUUCAUUUUGUAUUGCAGGAUGUUCUCAUUUUGGAUCUUGCUAGUAAUAGUCAUGCUGCUUCUUUUUGGAUGGUUCAAAGACAGAGAAAAAGGUUUGUUCUUCCAAAACUUUUCUUUGGGUAAAGGUGUGUGUAAUUGCCGUGAAGUAUUUUUAUUUGUUAGUGGGAAUGAUGUAUUGGAAAUAGCCAUGCGAUGUAAUCUUAAUGCCUUUUGAUGUUUGGAAAUUCGGUUUUGUCUGACGAUGUUUUUAGAGUAGUCAAUACACCAGAUUCUAUGAUUGAUAGUUUUGUCAAUUAUGCAAUGUUCAGUAUUCUUCUAAUUUUAUUGUAUUUACUGAACCCGUAAGUAAUUCCAAACCUGUGGUAGUUAAUACUAAGCUCCAGGAAGGGUUCAAGAAAAAGGAAUACAAGAUGAUUCGAUCCAAUAAUGUGUUUGCAAAAGAACAGGUCAAGCACAUAAAAUUUCAGUUUUCCUGCUGAUUUUCUUACUGUAGAAGAACACUUGGAAGUGUAGGUGAAUCCUGUGAUUUUACUAUCUUACUGUUUCUUUUACGGAUUGUGAGCACGAUUAAUCUAUGCAACUUACUACACCAUGUAUCGAACAUUUUCAGCAUGUGACUAAACAUAGAUACCAGGAAUUUAAGCCAGUUGCUUAUGUGAUUUUGUUUCUUAAUUUCCUUCCCCAGUUAACAUCUGGCUUUUCUUUACAUUGGACUAUUGACUACAUAAAUAGGAAAAGACAUAUUAGAUAAUUAUUUUAUGUGUAGUAUUGCUCCUGAGCAAACUUUAUUUAAGGAAAAUGAAUGAUAUGUUUUGACAGAUUCCAAUAACAAGAUCCAGUGGCCAAUGUUAUGUUGGAUGUAACAAAAAACAUUGGCUGAUUUGGUUGGAGAUCAAUUUGUUACAAAGAGCUAAUUUCUUUGCUCUGUGGAUGCUACUUUGUGUAUAAGUUCCUCUUCUGAAAAGUCCUAAUUUUUUUCUCUGGGGAUGCUGCUCUGCAUAUGGAUUUCUUGUUUUUUAUCCUAAGGAUUUUUUUAUAAGAUUGGAUGACCUCUUUUGACUUUGGAAGUAGGUGAUUCUAAAUUUGAUAACUUACAUACGAUAAUAAAACUUAUGCAGCAUCUACUAGUGGCUUGAUGUUCGCAAAUUGGUAGCCUGUAAGAUAUCUGCUGGCAGUCUUCUUCUUCAUUGUAGUUCAGAACUGCGGGGUCCAUCAAAGUUUAAUAUGACAGCUGACGUUAAGGAAGAUCUAGCUUUACUCCUAAGCAAAGAUAGAAAAGGAGCUUCUUGAGUACAAGGAUCACUAAGUGGUCUUCCAACGAUUUUAAUGCAUAGCCUUUUUGUUGCUUAAAUUAGGUUUGUGAUGAUUUUAAUUUGAAACCUUGUUCUUCAUUCUCUGAUAAAUAUUUGUUCAGUAAUACUCAAAACAAUCACCUCAUGAGUAAAACAGGCUUGCCCAAUCUUGACAAAAACAGAUUCUGAAUGUCAGUUUCAGUUCCUGCCUUUUCAGGUCCUUGCAAAUUGUUGGACCUUUUACAUGGUAAUUUGAUUGAGACCUGAUCUAUUGCAGCUUUAUUGUGCCUGAUUAUGUGCAGGAGGUUGCGAGUAAGCAUUGAGCGUGACAUUGGGGGGUCAAAUGCUUCCCCAAAGACCAUAAGGCUUUUUGUCCCAUAUUGGAUUAGCAAUGAUACCUCAUUAUCAUUAGCAUAUCAAGUAGUGGAAAUUGAACCACUGGAGAGCGCAGAUGUGGAUUCUCUUGCACUGUCAAAAGCUAAAUCUGCAAAAAUAGCCAUGAAAGCAACUCCUGGUUCAUUGCUUGGGAGACAGAUUAGUUCACGGAAGAAUGUUCAAGUGCUUGAAAUAAUUGAAGACACUAGUCCGGUACCCAGCAUGCUCUCUCCUCAAGACUAUAUUGGCCGUGGUGGUGUAAUGCUGUUUUCGUCACGGAAUGAUAACUAUCUGUCCCCACGUGUGGGGAUCUCUGUUGCUCUUCGUUCAUCUGAAUAUUUUAGUGCAGGGAUAUCUCUUCUUGAUUUGGAGAAAAAGGUAACAUGGAUAAAUGUUGUCAAAGUCUCUUAGAUGGCUUUAAAGCUCGUCUUUUUUCUUUAUGACAAGCGGCACUUAUACAGUUUUAUUUCUCUUACAGCAACGAGUUGAUUUAAAGGCAUUUGGUUCUGAAGGAUAUUAUUAUAAGCUUUCAGCUUUGCUGAACAUGACGUCAGACAGAACAAAGGUAUACUUUUGCAUGUGCAUCAUUUUUUGGCUUCUAACUCUGCAACCUGGUGGCAAACUGUACUUAAGUGCUCGAUUUACCUUCAUGUUUUUAUUGCUAAAUUUGCUUAUAGAUCAAGGUAUGACUAGUUUCAUCUGUUUAUGUCGUUACCGUAGAACCUUACUGAUUUGCCAGUGGUAAUUCAAGGCCUUUUAGUGAAUUUGUAUCUUGAAAUUGUAUGAUAUAGCCUUAUUAAUUAUAACUUCAUUCCUUUUUGGGUAGUAAUCAUGAUAUUUUGAUCAAAUGAGACCAUUUUACAAGCUGUUGGUGAGUUUGUUCUUUGGCUAUCUUAGAUGUAUGUGAUAAGAAUGUAAAAAAAGACAACAGCUGUACUCUACAUCUCCUAGCUUGGUACUUAUUUUUUUCAGUAAAGAGUGCUGGUUUCAUAUGCAGUGUCUUCUGGCUUAAUUGUGACUGAAUAGUAUGAGCUGUUUGAUUAUGCAGGUCGUGCAUUUUCAACCACAUACAUUGUUCAUUAACAGAGUUGGGUGCAGUGUUUGCCUGCAGCAAUGUGAUACUCAGUCUACAGAAUGGAUCCAUCCUAGUGAUACUCCUAAAUGUUUUGGUUGGCACUCCACAAAAGUGGAAUUGUUAAAGGUAGGUUGUUGCAAAAGUUUUCUUGCCACUUAGUCAAACCUAUAUUAAACGGAAAAAAUCAGCAAGCCCUUGAUAGAUAUAUAAUGUCUGCUUUAUGUUGAACACUAUUCUGUCUUCCCCACGGCAAAUCAUGUUUUCUUUGUCUUUGCCAAAACCAGUUGCGCUGGAUGGAUAUGAAUGGAUGCACCAUUUAGUGUUAAUAGUGAGGGGAUGAUGUCUAUUCACUUGAGAAGUGAAACUGGAACAGACCAAAUGCCUCUCAGGGUUGAGGUUAGAAGUGGAAUGAAGGGCUCUCGCUACGAAGCUAUAUUCCGUCCAAAUUUCUUUUCGAGUCCUUACAGGUUCUGUCAUCUUGUUUUCUUUGCAUCACUGUUUGCUUCUUAAGAGUUUCUUCAAACAGUACCAAGUAAAAAUCUGAUAUGUUUGUAACUUUGUUUAUUGGAAUGAAGAUUACCUCUGCUGACAACUUUUAUAGGACAUAGAGUCCUACAACUGCAUAAUUUGCCUAAUUUGCCUAAGUUUGCUAAUGAGUAUAUGUUCGAAGUGGUUUUGAUGUUUAAAUUCUGAUCCUGCUAAAAUAGCUUUGACCACUCUUUUUUUUGGGUAAAUGGUCGGGAGAAAUGCGAAACACAGCUCAUUCAUUGAAAAUGGAGACUUGUAUUGGGAGGAAAGUCCAGAAUAGUUCUCGGAGAUGGGAAGUCUACUAUUCAUAAAAUAACAUGAUGAAAACUUUAUAACUUGAAGUUUUUUGUUUUCUCUGCUGAAAUGAGUAGUAAAAUAGGCCUCAUUUUUUCCUUUUGGAUGAAAAAAUGAGUUCUAAAAGCUUCCUUUUGCAGCUGUUUUAAUUCAUAUAUCUUUAUUUUCUCAAUCAUCAAUUAUGUGAUGUGAAUUACGAUUUUCCAACCCUUCUCUAUGAUUUGUUAUCUGCAGUGAAUAGUAGAAGCUCAAUAAUUGCUAAUUUUCAUUUUGCAGGAUUGAGAAUCGGUCUUUGUUUUGCCAAUACGUUUUCGCGCAAGUAGGUGGUUCCAGUGAUUCAUGGAAGUUUCUUCUGCCCAAUUCAUCACUUGCCUUUUCAUGGGAAGAUCUUGAUAGGGAAAGAAUGUUGGAAAUCUUAGUAGAUGGAAGUGACUCUGGCACAUCGCACAGAAGUACAAUAUCGAUGAGAUAUUUGAUCAUGAGCCUAUACCUGUUGAUGGAGGAAAUAUAUUCACUUUACGCGUUACUAUUUUGAAAGAAGAGAAAACAAAUGUUGUUAAAAUCAGCGACUGGAUGCCUGAAAAUGAAUCUUCUGCAACUUUCAAUAGCAUUUCCCUUCUAUGUUACACAUCUCUGGAAAUUAUUUGCAGCCUAGCAAUCGAUGUCCACCCAGAAUGUGAAUUUCAUUUCAUUGUUGAGGUUUCAGAGCUUGGUUUGUCUAUAAUUGAUCAUACACCUGAAGAGAUAUUAUAUAUGUCGGUCGCAGAAUCUUUGCUGUCUCAUUCAACUGGACUUGGCCUCUGAAUCAGUAGGUAAUGUGUUCUGGUGACUGCUAACAAGGUUAAUGGUAUUUCUCGCUGUUUGGGCAUUCAUAGCUUCUACUAGAUGCUUUCACGUAGUAACUAAGCACUGUUAUCUUCACAAACCAUUAAUGUUAAAUUAGUUUACUGCAGGCUCAAAAUUAGAAUGCAUGGGAUCCAGGUGGAUAAUCAGUUGCCUUUGACUCCAAUGCCAGUUCUCUUCAGGUCACAGCGAAUAGGAGAGGAGAAUGAUUAUCUCUUAAAAUUUUCCCUCACCCAGCAAUCAAAUGGAUCGUUGGAUUUACAUGUAUAUCCAUAUAUAGGUUUCCAGGUGAGUGAUCUGAUACAGCUUCCUUAUUUUAUGUCUUUCUAGUGAUUACCAAGAUAUUUACUGAUGGUUGAGUACGUACUAACAUCCUCUCAGGGACCUGAAAAUUCUGCUUUUUUGAUCAACAUCCCUGAACCGAUCAUAUGGCGCAUUCAUGGAAUGAUCCAGCAGGCCAAUCUUAGUCAGUUAUCUGAUGCCAGAGCACUUCUGUUUCAGUUGAUCCUAUCAUCCAGAUUGGGUAUUAAAACAUUACUUUUUGAUCUUUGGAUCUUUAUGUGUACAGAAAAUCUCCAACAUUGCUUCUGUGAACUUUCUUGUAAUUGGAAAUUUUCAAAUUGACAGUGUUCUAAACUUCUCGGAGAUCGAUUCAAGGUUACUAUGGCUAUGUCCCCCAGUCAGCGCCCAGUUGGUGUCCUUGGUUUUUGGUCAAGCUUGAUGACUGCACUUGGAAACAUGGAAAAUAUGCCAGUUAAGUUUCUGCUCCUGCUUGAUCUUGUAAUUUAAUUGGAUGGUAUAUCUUGUAAGCUUGUCAGUUCUUCCAAAUUUUAGUGACUGGUUCCUUAUUUGUUGGUUUCUAACAUGAAACCUUCAGCUAAUUAAUCAGUCUUCUUGUGUUUCUGGUGGUAGAUUCUUGAAGUUAUUGAGUUGUAUGCGAUCUUGAAAGAGAUUUAAAGAAGUAAGAACAAGAGGAAGAUGAAGGAGGGAAGCUAGUACACUCUUGUUCUUACUAUAAAUCUCUUUCAAGAUCACAAGAAAUUGAUUUGGAAUGCUCUCGACUGCUUAAGCAGUCUUCCAUACUAUAUGACUUCACUGGUUGUAUAUGGAACACUCAGUUGAUAUAAUUUCUUUCUUGUCAUGCAAAGUGCUUGGGUACUGUUGGCAGCUGACUGAGAUCAAUAAUUUGACUUUUUAAUCAGGUCCGGAUUAAUGAGGCGUUCUUGGAAAAUGUAUGCAUGCGGCAUAGUGUUCUUGUUGCUAAUGCCAUCUCAAACAUUAAAAAGGAUCUUCUCAGCCAGCCUUUUCAGCUACUCUCGGGUGUUGAUAUACUUGGCAAUGCUAGUAGUGCACUUGGACAUAUGAGCAAAGGUGUUGCAGCCUUGUCGAUGGAUAAAAAAUUUAUACAAAGUCGACAAAGACAGGUUCAUCAGGAAUACUCUCUUUCAUUGUUAUGCAACAUGGUGUAAUAUUGAAGAUCUUAUUGAGAACAACUUGCAUCUAAGACUCUGAAUCCUUAGCAACCAACAUCCUCUGUUACCUUUUUAGAUUGUGGAUUUUGUCAAUGAAAGUAGUCGUUCACAUUAUGAAAAAAGAGCAACAAAUACGUCAAGUACAUAUUUAUCCUAUUAAACAGAGGGCAGUUCUCUUGGACCCAUGAAGAUGGUAAUACAUAUGAAGGCUUCAAUAUUAACUGAAGAAUUUAGGUAGUUUUUAAUGUGCAUAGUAGAGGUUGGGGUGCAUCUACUUUUGCAGUGAUCUAAAGCCCAUUUCUGUUACAUUGCAUUCCAUGAGAUGUGAUAUUUUGAUAGUAAUUAUCCAUUACCGAUGCUAUUCUAUUUGAAUCUGAAGUAAUUUUGUUGUAAUUUUAAUGUAAAUCAUAUUUUGGGUUUACAUGCAUUCUUAGUGUGAAAAUUCCCUAUGCAAGCUGGAAGUGUGACUUUGUACAUCCAAAAACCUGUUUACAUUCUUUCACAAAAUGCACAUGUUUUUACAGGAUGCUAAGGGGGUAGAGGAUUUCGGUGAUGUUAUCCGGGAUGGAGGUGGUGCGCUAGCUAAAGGCCUUUUCCGUGGAGUCACUGGCAUUUUAACAAAGCCUCUUGAAGGCGCAAAAGCUUCAGGUGUUGAGGGCUUUGUUCAGGGUGUUGGGAAAGGAUUAAUAGGUGCUGCUGCACAACCUGUUAGUGGGGUUUUAGAUCUUUUAUCAAAAACUACCGAAGGUGCCAAUGCUGUGAGGAUGAAGAUAGCAUCUGCAAUUGCAUCAGAAGAUCAACUCCUAAGGAGGCGGCUACCUCGGGCAAUUAAUGGUGAUAAUUUGCUUCGACCAUAUGAUGAAUACAAAGCGCAGGACAGGUAUUUUGCUUUUUGCCUUGCUCAUAUCAUCCUCCACAACCCUCCUUUGUACUAUGAAGCAAACAACAUUCCAUGCCCCAAAUCUGGCAAGGAGUUGUAGUUAGGAAGCAGAGGUAUGGAAAAGAUUGUGCAGAUGAGGGUGAUUACAAAGUGUUGGAUUCUUGAUGGCUUUUCACUGGUAUGGGAAGGAAGUUUUCUGUUAUAAUGCUGAGUGCAUGGGGUGGUUUGGCAAGGAUAUGGUCUGUCUCAGUGUGCUUUCUGAUUGAGGUUUCAGUGGGUCUUUUGCAGGUGUGGUGGAUGGGAGGGGAUGCAAAGGCAUGGGAAAUAUUGCAUUUGGGGGGCCUGGGUAUUGGAAUGAUGUUAGAGUAGGUUGGGAGGCAAGUAAAGGAAGCUGGUUAAUGUCUCUGGGAGUGGGGAGAGGACAGGAAAGGGAGGGGGAAUUUCAGAUUUAGGUGUGCAAAGGUGGUGGAGGGGUAAGAACACGAGGAUAUAGAACAAUAUGUGAAAUAUCUAGAAAGUGCAGUAAAGAUAGAUUAAUAGAGAAAAACAAAAGUUCUGUCCUUAUACACUGUAAUGUGUAUUGUGCUUGACUAGCUUAUCAAAAGAGCUCAUUCAUGUUUUCCCUGCAUAGCAUUCAAUUUUGGGCCAUAAGAUAUCAGUUUUCUAUAGAAUGCUGUCAUGCUAAUUCGAAUUUGAAGUGCCCUGGGAAUCUGAGUAUGCUUUCUGUCAAAACAUUAGGCAAUGUUGCAGUUAGCAGAAUCUGGAUCAUUUUUCAGCCAAGUUGAUCUGUUCAAAGUACGUGCAAAAUUUGCCUUAACGGAUGCCUAUGAAGACCAUUUCUUACUUCCAAAGGGACGAAUUGUUGUUAUUACUCAUCGAAGGGUGAUUUUGAUGCAAGUAAGUUUAACUUUAAUCAAACUACCUGGUAGAUAUCAAAAGAAAUCUUAAUCCUGACUAAAUUUCUAAUCCUAUCUAGCAUUUGAUGGCUCCAUACUCACGUCAUCUUGCUUAAUUUAUUAGCAACCAUUCAACAUUAUUGCUCAAAAGAAGUUCAACCCAGCAAGGGAUCCUUGUUCGGUUUUGGGAUGUAGCUUGGAAUGACCUUGUGACAAUGGAAUUGACUCAUGGGAAAAAAGAUCAUGCAAGUGCUCCACCUUCGCGGCUUGUUGUGUAUUUACAGAGUAGAUCAUUGGAGGCAAAGGAUCAAGUUCGUGUUAUAAAAUGUAAUCAUGACACCAAUCAGGCAAUGGAGGUUUAUACUUCAAUUGAGCAAGCAAGGUCUACAUAUGGACCAAGUCAAUUUCAGGUGCAGAUUGUGUUUUGAUUGAGUUUGUAGAUAAAUUUCCUUGAUCAUAUUGUGGUCGUUCUCUUUGUUUCAUCUUUAAUUUUUCUCCCAUCUUCCAGGCAUUGCGUGAAAGGAAAGUGACAAAACCAUAUUCUCCAACUGCUGAUAUGGCCUCUGAAGUAAUUUCAAAAGAUGGAGUUUGCGUCUCCUCUCCCCAACAGUUGCCUGCAUCAGUACCAUUAACUUCUACAUUUGGAACUAGCGAACAUUGAAUGAUAAAAAGAAAAUAGUUAAUGUGAUUAGAUGGUGCAAGUUGUUACUGGUCAUCCAUGCAAUCUAGAAGACUGCUCAGUUAUUGCUUUUUUUGCAAGAAGUUGCAUCACUAUGAAGGUAAUUUACAUUUUAUUCUUUUGUUUUCUAAAGCUGAAAUCCACCCAAUUCCACACUAUCCUUGGGUAUCAGCUAAUCUGUUUUUUUUGUAUUUUUUUGGGGGUGGCCAUGUUGCCAAAUUGUCCUUGAAGGAUGUUAAGAAUCUUGCCUCAGUAUCCAGACUUCUAAAUUUGGAAUCUUUUAAAAUUCUUGGCAUGAAGUUUAAAAACUUGGUUUUAGGUUUCCUUUUUUUUAGCAUUGAUAUUAAUAACCUGAACAUCAAGCGACGAUCCUGCUUCCUGGCAUAUGUGCGUGAUACGGGUAGAAUCUAAUGUCUUCCUGGUAAAGUCUUUUAACGCUUCAAACAUCAAUUUGUCUUGGUUCUGUCCAAAGUAUUUCAGUUUUAUGUCACCAAAAAUGGCCUAAAACAAUGUCACUAGAGAUGAAGCUCGGAAGCUUAAAUUUGAUAGUGCAUCUUAUAUUACUGUAAAUCUGGAUCUCAUCAAACGCAUAAGUUCCAAUCAACACGAGUUUAGGGUAUGACACCAUUGUUUUUGGGUUGCAGGUGCGUAAGUUCUGGCUUGAGGGCAGAAAAGGUCAAAGAGCCGUAUUGUUGAAAGGACUCCCAAUGAUGGGCUUCCAGAUUCUGGUAUUUGUAGGGUGCAUUUUAUGUGUUUUAUGGGUAUAAAUAUUGUACAUAACAUAGAUGGCAAUACAUGAAGAUAAUUUAGGUUUAAACUACCGGACAUGUUCUACCUCCCAUUAUAUAUUCUGGGCAUUGGAUGGCUUUAGCCGCCCAUUUUGCAUGCCAUGUAAUCUUAAUGUCUAUAUUUAGGCUUUUAGGUCCAUAUAGCAAGGCUUCGCUCCUCAGCAGACAUAUUGUGUAUGCCUCUUGUUUCAUCGGUAACUCAUGUGGAAACUUUUCCCAGAUAAUCUGGAAGUCUUCUUUGUCCAGGAUCCUGUACUUGUUUUCCGGCCAGUUAUUGAUGCUCUUUAUUCUGUCAUCUACUGCAAGAUGGAGCAGAUUGUAUUUGCAAUUUGAACUAUAAUAUGUAAGACUGGUAGUGUGACUGAGAUGGUAUAUCGGCUGCUACGUUAUGCAAAGCUGGAGUCCAAUCAUUAUUGGAUGUCUGCAAGGAAAUCGUUCGUUUUCUUUCUGAGUAGUUAUGAUGUCAAAAGCGUGAUAGCUGGGACAUAUCUGACAAUGUCAGGCUGACAUGUGUAGUACAGUUAUUGUUAUCAUUUGGGGGUUAAUGGUAAUCAAGCAUUCAAAAUGAGGCCUGGCUAUUUCUCGGGCAGAACAAUUCAUGUUGCCUUUUUUGUUUGGUGGUGGUGGGAUGGAUCAGAUGGUUCAUUGUUGGUAAACAUCAACUUUAUGAAGCUCAAAAAUUACGGGUAAAAUGAAAGUCAAUUCAGGGUUGGCUGCAGAUGUACAGUGACGGUGAAGUAAGCGUCCCUCUCGGCUGAGGAGCAACUGCAAAACGCUAUUCUUGCAAGUUGCAAUCAGUCACAAAUAAUUCCCACUACAACUUAAUAUCCAAAUCAUGUUGAGUGAUUUAUGCUGGACGAUUUCUAGCAAAUUUAGUAAUAAAAUCUUCUUUGUUAUAAAAAAAAAUUCAUGUUUUAAUAAUGAGUUCAAAAAAAUUGAGUUAUAUUUGAGUUGCCAAUAAUGAUGCUUCUUGCGGAGACAAAAGAAUUGCUGAGUUGCUGUACCAAGCAGUCUCCUGUUAUUUCCACCAUUUUUAAGUGAGCAAUUAUUGUGUCUAUAUUUCUCACGGCCGUAUAUGGAGAAAAGGGAGGAGCUGAUUACAUUGAUAAUUGUGUGUUUUAUUUCUUACUAGUUGUGUAUUAGAACAUGCUCAAAGGUAAGGGCAUAAACAAGUCUAAUCAAGUGAAAUAUGCUAGUGUUUAAUCUUGUUUGAUUAUUUCAACAGGAUUGAAAUUUUGUUCAAAUUUGAUUUAUUUUUUUGUCAAACUGACUUUGAGCGAAUUUUUUUAAUAAAUAUUGUUGAAUAUGAAACGCUAUUCAAAAUAUAGUUUGACAAGUUGGACGAAUCAAAUUCAAAUGAUUACUAAACCAAGCUCGAUUCGACUUAGGUGCCGUUUGGUAAAAAGAAAUCGGAAUUAGGAAUUGAAAUAAUUUCAAUUCUUGUUGUUUGGAUUACAUGUAUUGGAUUCAAAAUCUUGGAGUGAAUCAUUAAAAUUUAAGAGUUCUCAAUCCCCAACAAAUUGGAGGGGUUUUGGUAUAUUCUCAAAUUUGACUCAAUUUGCCUUGAAGACUUCAAAAAAGAAAAGAAAACGUAUCAUCUUUAUUCCAACCUCCAUGAUAGCACCUUACCAUUAGAUUUUCUCUUUCAUCUUUUCGCUCUCAUCUCAUCUUUUACAGCAAGCUUUCAUCAUUAUCCUUUUCUCUUUUUUUCUCUAGUCAUUCACUCUUCCAAUCUUUCAUGGAAACAGUCUCAUCUCAUUUGGUUAUCUCUCCUUUUUUUAUUAAUCUCUAUCAUUUUCUUUUUUCUUCUCUCUUCCUCUCUCUUCUAAUACUUUAUGGUAGUUGCUUCUCUCCAUUUGUUCUCUCUCUUCUCUCUUUUUUUUUGCUUUUUGUGUAAGCCUUUCUCUUUCCUCCAAUCUUUCAUGGCAGCAGCCUCAUCUUAUCUGGUUGUCUCUCCCUUUUUAUUAAUCUCUCUCAUUUUUCCUUUUCUUCUCUUUUCACUCUCUUCAUUUCUCCUCUAAUACUCUAUGGCAGUCGUUUCUCUUCAUUUGGUUAUCUCUCUUCUCUCAUUUUUUUUCCUUUUUGUGCAAGCCUUUCUCUCAUUUUUUGUCAUUCGCUUUCUCAUGUUCCACAGAUUGCAAGGUUGAUUGGUGAUGAUUAAGGGUUCGUUUGGGAGUGGAUGAUUUGGAUAGAAAAUAAAGGGAAAGAAGAGAAAGUUAACUUUUGCUUCACUUGUUAGUUUUUAAUAGGAAAGAAAAGAAAGGAAAUAGAAGGAUGAAUAGUUAUCAAAAUGCUUCCUCCCAAAUCGGAAGGAAAUGGGAAGAAAGCUUGGAGAAAACUUGAUAAUUUUUUAAAAAUGCCUAUUUUAUCCUUAAAAAUGUUUUGAACAAAUAUUUAAUGACCUUCAUAUUCAAAAUCGUUUCACUAAUUCUCAAAACUCCCAAACAACGUAACAAUCUCUUUUCUUUUCUUCUCUUCUCUUCUCUCGUAACUUAAGUUUUCCCUUUUUUUUUUUUUUUCUAUCCUAAACUCCCAAACUAAGCCUAAGUGCUAAUUCAAGAGAAUAUGAAUGAAACACGAGUAUUCAAAGUAAGGAUUGGGAAGAAAAAAAAAUAAAGAAAAAAAAAUAAAAAAAAAUUUGAUUUCAAAACCUUAUAAAUAUAUAACUUGAUCAAAGUUCAUACUAAAUUUUCAAACGUGAUUAUAAUUACAAUUCCGAUUUGUAGACUUGAACCAAACGCGCCCGUAGUUUGUGUCCUUGCGACCACAAAAUUGGAAGUUCCAACUCAGAAGACCAGAAAUUGGAUCUUCCUAACCAAACCUGAAGGAGAAAAGUAGCAGUCAUUCCUACCAACAUAACAAGUCAUUUGGAAUGGGGAAGACUGCUAACAGUUUGUUCAGGCCCAGCAGGCGGCGCGAUCAGAAUUUGGGUUUUGGUACUCGGAAGAGCCCGUCCUUCCUUCGGGAGACCCAAGAGUUUGUUCUUCAACAUGCUCACUUGAGUGGUGGACGACCGGGAGACCAAAAUAUCCUACGCUCUCCAAGAUGGCUGCUAAUUGCUCCAAAAUGUAAAACUUAAUCGUGGUAGUGUUGUAAAACUUAAUCGUUGUAGUGUUGUUACUUUCUUGGAAGGAAGUUAGGAAGAACAUGUUUUCCACUUCUUUCUUUUUCUUUUUUUUUUGUUUUGGCCCCCUUGAACUACUGUAAGGUAGUCAUAGUAUGGUAAUAAAGAAAAUGAUCUGAGCAGCUGAGCCGAACCCAACCCAUACCACCUGUUGAGUCUUAUAAUUGAUUUCCCUCCUCUACAUGUAAUGAUGGUAGUAUUUUGAUAAAUCAUACCACAGUUUGGUCAUCUCUGCAGAGUUCAGAGAGGAUCAUGGCUAACGAGGGAAGUAUAAAGUUCUGUUAAGAGUAUCUUCUUAUUGCAGGAAUCUAUUGAGAGGAUAGGAAUUACAAAAACCAGAGCAUUAUCCAACUGCCGACAUCCAACACUAGAGAUUAAAUAGCGGUACACUAACUCACUCACACCUUGUCAACUUGUUGCCUACUUCUCCCAGAUUUUUUUUUUUUUUUUGGUUCGGAGCAAUACUUCUCCCAGAUACUGUAAUUCUGUUACAAUAAAUCUAGAAAAUUUCAAUCUGACUGCAAAAAAAGAACGACUGCUGAAACCAAGGCUCACAAGUGUUGGUUGCAUCUCUUUCGACGACAAAAAGUAGAACCAGAGGAGACCGAGGGUCCAAAUCAAGCAACCCUCUCUGAAUUCUUGCUGCUGAUACUGUUUCUACUAAUAAAUCUACUUCAUUUACAAAUGGAGCUUCCACUUGAGCUCUUUCAUCUCAUCAAGAAGCGCUCAAAAAGGUAGGAGUACUAUACCAUUAUUAUUUGGUUCUUUACAUUUUCAAGCACACACUUUUUUGGCUUUUUCGCAUAUCUGAACUCUUUCAGAACCCCUGACCAAGAAAAGUUGCUUUCAAGAACUCUGAUUCAAAUUUUUAGCUCUCUCCCUCUAUCCAUCAAAAGCAUUUUCAGCCACCUUUUUGCAGAUUCAUUUCCUUUGCUUCUUUUCUCUCCUUUUUUUGUUUCCUUUUCUGGAUCGGCGGGUUUUAGAAUUUAGUAUGUCCUGCUUACAAGUUGGGGGAGAUGAUUGUGCAAAGUCCGUAGAUUCUAGAUCUAAGGUCAUGUCCGUAAUCCAAGAAUAUUGCUUUAAAAUGAAAAAGUGGACUGAUGGUGUUUUGAACUUACUUAUCUAAUUGAUUGCACCAUUGAUUUGCUUUCCUUCUCUCUUUGGUUGGUUAGUUUCAGUACAUUAUCCUUGAACUUGAAGAUGGUAACUGGCCAAAUCUAAAGAUUGAAGAAUAAGGUCUUGUUCACAUUUGGAAUUCUAACUACAAACUGCCUCGGACCUGCAACUGUUGCGUACUCCGAUAAAUAUUGGUCCAAGAAUCUUCUCUAUAGUUGUGCGUGCUAAGUUUGGGAAUGAAAAAGUGGACUGGAGGUGUUUUAAUCGUAGGGCUUGCAUUGAUUUUAGUUAUUAGUUACAGUUUCGUUGGGAAGUCCGCCCAACAAAAACAAUCAGCAUAUGAUUUUUUCAAUAAUCAUCCUGCUGACAAUGCCAACCCGGAAGGCAGGAAGGGCCAUGAUAAUGUGAAAUCGGCUGAGACUGACGUCAAAAAGGCACUUAAUUUUAAAGGAAAGCCUCGAUUUGUCCAUGUUGAAGGGCUCAGUUCUUUGUAUAGUAGCUUGGGGAACUUUUCCAAAGAGGAGUCAAAAGCGUUGCAGGUAUGGAGCCGAAUGCGCUUUUUAUUACCCAGGUCAGAUGCAUUGCCUAACACUGCAGGGCAUCAAAGAGGCCGCUGCAGUUUGGAAAGAGUUGUUGUCAACCGUUCAGGAAGAUAAGGCCUCCAAGGCAAACAAAGUUGGAGAGAUGUAGAUUGUCCAUACUAUGUCAGUGCGUUUAAUGGCACAAAAUCAAGGAGUCAGAAUGCAACUCUUGAAAUCCUUGUGGUCUUGUUGAAGAUUCAUCUGUUACUGUGAUUGGAAUGCCUGAUGCAUUACAAGACGGUUUUCAAAUUGAGCUUAUUGGCUCAAAACUGUCAGAUGAGCCCAGGCUCCUUUGGUGUUGCAGUACAAGGUGUUUUUACCUGGAAAGAACCUGACAAAGGAGCCCUUUGUCAUCCAAAAUGCAUGGGCUAAUGAAUCUGGGUGGGGAAGGAGGAAAGGUGUCCUGAUCGUGGCUCGACUGACUUUCUAAAAGGUUAAAUCCUUGCAAAUUUUAAUCAGAAGAUUUCAUUUGACUCACUGUCCAAGUCUUUUGCGUGUAUACUUAAACCCUACCCUCUGGCUUAGUUUUAUCGGCCAUCGUAAUUCAAUCUUGCGCAUGUAAUCUAUAGCCUCGGAGAUUUUCAAUGUGGAAUGCAUGAUUAGCUAGUAUGAUUCUUGUUUCCUUGGUCACUCAACUGACUUGUGCAUUGGUCAUGAUGUAUGAAGCAAUUUAGAUGGAUGAGUUGAGACAAUAUAUAACUGCCUAUUUCAUGUUUCAGUUGAUGGGCUAGUAAAGUGCAAUGCGCAGAGUGUCAGGACGGCUAUGCCAGAGAAUUCAAAUGGGAGUAAUCGUAGCAGUGACAAGUUAACCAAUUUUCUGAUGGGGGUACCCAUGGAAGUGCCACUUUUCCUUUCCCUUAUUUUGAAGGCAUUCCAUUUACUGCCUCAUUGUGGGUUGGGUUGGAGGGAUUCCACAUGACAGUCAAUGGAAGGCACGAGACAUCUUUCGCGUAUAGAGAGGUAUAGUAAUAUCAACGUGGAGCUCAAAAUGCGUAUAAUAGGAGAGGAUGGAUGCUCAUUGAUCUUGCAGGAAUGAUAGCAAUAAUAUCUGUUGUAUGAUUUUGAUGCAGAAGCUUGAACCAUGGUUGGUGGGUGGAGUUGAGGUGAAAGGUGGCUUGGCCACCAUAGCUAUCUUAGCAAAAGGAUUGCCUGUUUCAAAUGACCUGAAUUUAGACGUUGAUCUCGAGCUUCUCAAAGCUCCCUCAGUUUCCAAGAAAGAGCUUGUAUUGAUGAUUGGUGUUUUCUCAACUGCAAAUAACUUUGAGAGGCGUAUGGCACUGAGAAGAUCUUGGAUGCAAUACGAUGCUGUACGCUCCGCCGAGGUGGCUGUCCGCUUCUUCAUCGGUCUUGUAAGUGAGGCAUCACACACUGGGCAGCUAUUCUUCGAAAUUACCCAUUGGAAGGAAGGUUCACCAAAACUUAAGCCCUACCUACUUGAGGCUCUAACCUGAUUGCUGCCAACAGUCCUUUUGAUGCUUGAAAUAUUCGGGCUUUGCUUCUGGUUACAAUAAUAUAAGAGACACAUGCUGCUGAAUUUCCACUUUCUGUUUAUUUACAGCACAAGAAACAAGCAGUCAACUAUGAGCUGUGGAGAGAAGCUCAAGCAUACGGAGACAUCCAGUUGAUGCCUUUUGUUGACUAUUAUAGCUUGCUCAGUUUGAAAACCAUCGCAAUCUGCAUUCUGGGGGUAGGCAAACAAAGCUCUCCACUCCACAUAAAAAGGAAAUAUAUAUAUAUAUAUAUAUUACAGUAUGAUAUAUAUUCUCUCUGUAUAUAUAUACAUGCACAUUAUUUAUAUGUCGUCUGGAGUUUAUAUAUCUAUCAACGCAUUACAUGAUGGGCGGCACGCAUUCUCGAUCAUUGUGACAGACUGAAAUCCUGACUGCUAAAUAUAUAAUGAAGACGGACGAUGAUGCCUUCGUUAGAAUUGAUGAAGUUGUAUCUAGCUUGAAGGGAAAGGCUUCUUCUUCAGACGGCCUUCUGUAUGGUCAUAUAUCGUUCGAAUCAUCACCCCACAGGGACAAAGAGAAUAAAUGGUACGUCAGUCCAGAGGUAGGUACUACUGCUGCUGCUGCUGCUGCUGCUCAUUUUUUUUUUUUUUUAAAUUUUUGUCAUAUUAAAUCAAAUCAAAUGUGGAGGUCUCUUGUCCUCUGUAUAUAGGAAUGGCCGUAUGCAUCAUAUCCGCCGUGGGCACAUGGUCCGGGUUACGUAAUUUCCAGAGACAUAGCGAAGUUCAUCGUUGGAGGCCAUCGGGAAAGGGACAUUAUGGUGAGAAUCAUCAUCGUCAUCAACUCUUGUUGUUUUUUUGGAAUGGUGGGAGAGUAAAAAUUCCCUAAUUUUUAUUCAUGACUAGAAGUUUUUGAUGGGUUGCAGCUGUUCAAGCUAGAGGACGUGGCUGUUGGGAUAUGGAUAGAGCAAUUCAAAGAGCCUGGGACACAGCGUGAAGUACGUGGACGACGAGAGAUUUUACAUAUCUGGGUGUGAGCCAAACUACGUUCUGGCCCAUUACCAGACCCUCGGAAGCUUCUGUGUAUGUGGGAGAAGCUCCAAAAACAAAAACACCGCCACGACGGCGACCCUCCUAACUCCUGCUGUGACUGACUGAUCAUCAUUGUCCUCCGGACGCCGCUCGACAACUUACGGUGGUGUUACUUUUUGUGCUAGUCCAACAGCAGCAGCAUCAGAUGUGUGUUUUUGUUCAAGGAAUGACGUGUGAUUAUUAAAUGAAAAAUGAUAUUGGGUGUGUCGUGUGUGUGCGCGUGACUAGACUUCCACUCCGUCUCUAACAUAAAUUUUUUUUAAAAAAAAAUAAUAAUAAUAAAUUAUGAUCUAAUAACCAAGUAUAUAUUUAGGAAUAUCUUUUUUCUUUUGCAUGUCUAUAUAAAACUCCUCGUUACUGAAUUUAUUUAUAACCGCCUAUAUUUUCGUCUUUUACUUUUUAACCUUAUUUUGUAUUUUAUUAUUGUUUUAAUCUUCAUGAGUAUAAUAUUGAAAUAAAAGUUUUAUAUUUCCUCCAAGAUGGGCUAAACUAUCACGAGAAAUUAAAUGCCAAUCGAAGGGAGAUUCUUGAGAUUUUAAAAGUCUAUUGGAUGCUAAGUGAUGUUUGGAUUGUGAAUUAUUAGAGAUAUUUUUACUGUAGCACUUUUUGUGAUGUGAUGUAUGUGAGAUAAAAAGGUAAUUGGAAAGGGUAAAAAGGUGUAUUGGAAAUUGUAAUGAUGAUGUAAGCAAAUAAAUUUUGAGAAAUAAAGCCCAAUCCAAACAAAGCGAUAUUAUGCAAAAACAUUACGGGAGGUUUCAAGAAUCAUUAUUAUGGUCUCAAGUUUAUCUGAUCACUUGCCGUGCCGGACAUCAUACGCACAAAAUAAUGCUACAAUUACGUCAGUGCUCUUCCCCGUUUACGUUUCUUGAAAGGUUUGCCUUUUUACGUUUCUUGAAAAGUCGCUUUGUUUACUCCAAAAAAAAAA
Molecule: long non-coding RNA, 76732 nt
Filed under: Coffea arabica (coffee)
Lineage: Eukaryota; Viridiplantae; Streptophyta; Magnoliopsida; Gentianales; Rubiaceae
Description: long non-coding RNA (CARA_LNC002058)
Source: RNAcentral